This 84409-nucleotide long non-coding RNA is filed under the name Zea mays. RNAcentral's name for it is "long non-coding RNA (ZMAY_LNC004049)". Lineage: Eukaryota; Viridiplantae; Streptophyta; Magnoliopsida; Poales; Poaceae. The record is from RNAcentral.
GUGUCCUCUUCUAGUCUUUUUCUUCUUCUUCUUCUAUAAACAAAAACCCAUAAAACACAACCACCAUACAACCCUUUGUUUGUUAAUUUACCAGUAAGGCAAAGCUUUACGUUGGCUAAUAAACACACCGAGCUGCCCAGGCUUCCCUCAUAGCAGUUGCAUCCUAAUCCUAGUCGUAACUAAUCUUGUCCGAUUCGGCGCGGCGCUUGUAGCCGCCAUGAAGUACUGUAAAUUUUGUUAUCUAGUCACGGUCGUCGUCUCGUCGGCCUAUUCUUUUUUCCGGCGCCGCGCGCGCGUCGGAUGCGCCUGUCGAGCCGAGCAGUUUCCCUGCUGCUUCUGCAGUGGCAGUCUCUCUGGCGUACUCCUAUAGUCCUAUCCUUGCACGCGGUUCUCGUUGACUCUCUCUCUCUCUCUCUCUUGUCCGCUGUUGACUAAUUAGUAAGCCUCGUUUGGAUCAGCUCAGCGCCACCCGUCCUGUCGAGCGGGAAUCUUAAAAUAUCGCCGCUCUGUUUACUCGACAGAUCGCUAAAAGGCCAGAGAAGGUUGCUACUGCUACAGGAACACUACGAGUUGACUACUGGUGCAGAGCCGAGGUCGCAGAUGAGCGAGCGGCGCAGGCGUCCGCGACCGUCGCUUUCGGGUAGAGAUGGCAACGGGGCCCGUUACCCGUUACCCGGCGGGUAAUUACUCCAUUAGGAAACGGGUUUGGUUGCAAAUUUGUACCCACGGGUCAUAUAACGGUAGAAAAAGAAGAUCCGACGGGUACAGCGGGUUCGGGUAUGUAAUCGUUAAACCCAUACUCGUAUACUCGUGGGUAUAAAAUACCCGUAAUUUUAGCCUACCUAGCGUCCUAGCCCAUUAAUUUGCCUAGCCGCCUAGGUGGCUGGGAGCCUGGGUCCAAGCGUCCGGUGUGGGAAUCCAAGCGUCGAAGGCGAAGCACCAAGCGUCCAACACAACUACACAAAGCCACCUCUAUCAGUCCACCAUGACACCUUCGCCAGAGCCCAGAGGCCUGAUUCCUGAACAUGGCGACACACUGGAUGUUUUCUUAAGAGCUAGUCGUGUUGAUAAACAUUAUACUUGCUUGCUUAGUGAAGAAGAAUGGGUACCCAUCGGGUAUAGAAUACCCACACGGGUACGGGUAUGAGUGUGCAUUUGUACCCGUGUACGGGUAUGGAUAUUGGACUGAGGAGUUUUUAUUCUAACGGGGCCGGGUCUGGAGUAGCAAAACCCAGCAGGUCUUCACCCGUUGCCAUCUCUACUUUCGGGCCUUUUGACUCCAAAAAUAUGCAAGCAAAGCACCCAGGAAAUUUUGGUCGGCCCCGCCCGCCGAACCGACGGCCGGAGGCACGCGUGCGAGCGUGUGGGCCCCACGCGACGACAGACUGAUGUCACGUAUAACUUGCAGUUACAGACUUAGGGAGGGUUUGAUUUCUAAGGACUAAUUUUUAGUCUCUAUAUUUUAUUUCAUUUUAGUUCAAAAUUUGUCAAAUAUAGAAAUUAAAAUUCUAUUUUAAUUUUUAUAUUUGACAAUUUAUAAACUAAAAUGGAUAAAAAUGAAGAGACUAAACAUUAGUCCCUAUAAACCAAACAUCCCUUACAGUAGCUAGUUAUAACUCCAUUUUCAAAUAUUUUUAGAUCGCUAUUUUAUUUUUGCACUAAAACAUGACAGAUAAAAAAAUAAAAUGAGUAGUACAUAACGAAAUAUACGUAUAUGAAAUAUGUGAUGGUACUUGUAUAUAGCAGAGCAGGCUCUAGUGUUGAUGAACACGGUGCUUGCGGUAGCUAGACGACACACCAGAGCCAAGCAAGUGACUGUGCACACGCAGUACGCACAGGACUACCGAGUCCAAUCAACAGAAACUAAGGGCCUUUUGACCAAAACUAGACGUACGUGUCCAAAGGUCAGAAUUCGCAAGGCAGAGACCUCUCCACAAUCUGAUCCCAUAGGCCAGAGCCACAGUCGUCUAACUUUCACUCGAGCCGGCCGGCCGGCCGGGCGGCAAAAUAAAUAUCAGACAGAUCCCUUCACUAAACACUAUCGGAUAGGGGAGUAUAUAUGCACCGUAUUCUUCGGUACGACGCUUGACCUGGACGACGCCUCUAGCUAGCUAGCUAGCUAGCAAACCGACCCCAUGGCAGACGAGUGGUGGAGCUGCACGCGUGCUGCCGACGACGACGACGACGCCGGUGGCUCGCCCUGCUCCACAGCCCCGGCAACAACGGACCAGCUCGACGCUGCCGACGAGCCGGCGGCGACGAGCACUGCCUCGAUCGAUUUCCGGCGGCCAACCUCAUUAUUGCACGUCGUCCGCCACGCUGCCGUCCCGCCAUCAUCCCCCUUAAUCCUCGCCGAUCCACCCCAUCAUAUCGACGACUGGACGCAAGCCUACUUGUAAGAGCGGAGAAUUCUCAUGUCUCCAGUCUCAACUUGCUUGGCACACAAUCUCUCCACGUUACAUAUGCGUGAUGAAUGGCGGUUUCCACUAUGCAUGCACAGGUGCGGGAGAGCGCCGCUCGCGGCGGCGGCGGCGGCAGAGGCGAGCACAAGCCUCAGCGCGCUGCUCCAGCUCCACGGCGGCGACGCUGCUGGCCGCCACUUCCUGCUCGCCCAGCACCUCCACGGUGACGCUGCUGACAGCGCGGCGGCGCACGUGGCAGCAGCGUCGCAGAGCUCGGCCCUGUACGCCGCCGCCGGCAACCAGCCGUACUCCUCCAGCUACGGCGGCGGCGCGCCGGCGGCAGGAGCGCUGAUGGCCCAGCAGCCGCCGUUCCCUCAUCAGGACGAAUUCGAAUUCUCAUCCGCCAGCCUCUUUGUUGGCUCCUCGUCGUCGACGCGGGAUUCCGCCGGCGUGCCGGCGGCAGCGGCGCGGCGGCCCGCCGUGACGACGACGAAGCCGCUUCUCUUGCAGGCCUUGGAGCAAAAGGCUUUCGCGGUAUGAUAUGAUACGAUGCGACGACUGGGCGGCUCGAAGCGGAUCGAGCCGCGCGUUGCACUUGCAUGUUGCCUACUCUACUACUACUCUAGUCUCUAGGGUUUCUUUCUCACGCCUCGAUCGAUCGAUCGGCGUCUGGUGCGUGCAGUUCCACUCCCAUCAUAAGGAACGUACACGACAACACGACGCUUCCUCGGCGACGACAGCAAGUGCUCCCGGCUCGCCUGCGCCGGCGAAGAAGCCCCGGGUCGUCGCGACGCCGUCUCCUUUGCCGACCUUCAAGGUGUGUGCACAUGGACUGCUCGCACCGCACAGACCGGGCAGCUAGCUCUAGCUGUGACGCAUGCAACCUAAAGAUAGUAUUAUCAUCAUCAUCUUGCACCUUGGAUUAUUCGGACACAUCUUUUGGUUUCCAGCUCAACAUGCAAUCCAAACAAGUAGUUAUUCGAUCUUGUUAGCUAUGAUAAUGAUCGGUGAUCAGCUGUACUACUACGAUUGCCUUCGAUUUGAUCCUUGUCCGAGCGCAGGUGAGGAAAGAGAAGCUCGGGGACAGAAUCACUGCGCUCCAGCAGCUAGUCUCGCCUUUUGGAAAGGUAGUACACCUUUUUCUAAUUCUUCCCCACUCCAAUCUCUCUGCAUCAUCGGUUUCUCUCCUUCCUUCCUCUAAAUUAAACUCUUGCAUUUGAGCGAAAGCCUCGUGUUCCAUUAUUAUUCCAAGUUGUUGAUCGAUAUGAACCUUGACUUAAUUUGGCAUCAUGCAUUUCCGAUGCACACGGCCGGCGGCAACAUCUAUCGACGCAUAUAUAUAUCGUCUGCGGAUCUUAGACGGAUACUGCAUCGGUUCUUCACGAGGCCAUCGAAUACAUCAGGUUCCUGCAUGACCAAGUAGCUGUAAGUAUAUAUAUAUAUAUACGAAUCCUAUACUUCAUCACGAUCAAAUGGCUGCAAAAAAAUCAAUAUAUUUGUGUGUGUGAUUCGAGCUAAUUAAUGAACCUGACCUUGAUCUGCGCACAGUCCCUGAGCUCUCCCUACCUCGGGUGUGGGCGGCCCGUAGUGCAGCAGAUACAGCAACGACGACAGGUGAGUACUCACUCUGUUUCUUUUUAGCUGUCGUUGUAUAGUUUAAUUUUACAUUAUCAGCGACAACUAAAACGAAACGGAGGGAGUAGUUAAUUUUAUUUGUUUGCACCUACAAACUACAAAGUAAAAGUUAGGUACAUUUCCUAAUUUCAUCCUGAUGAAUUAACAGGCGAAGGACGACGGCGGCGCCGCGGCGAAGGAGGACCUGCGAAGCCGAGGGCUGUGCCUUGUCCCGGUGGCGAGCACUACGACUUAUGCAGUGGCCGCUGGUGGCGAGACGGCGCCGGAGUUCUGGCUCCCUAACUUUGGGGGCACACUACGGUAGGGACAGAGACAGAGACAUGAAUAUAGUAGCGUGGACAUGGAGAUCUUGGUAGCUAGCUAGGUCUCGUAGGCAUGUAUUUGUAGCUAAUAAGGCCGUAUUCUCAUGUCUGAUGCAAAAGCAAAUGAAUAAACCUGACCAGUCGAUCACACUAGUCUCUAAGGGUGUUUAGUUUGCUGGAAUGAACUGGAGAAACACAAUGGGAAGAGGGGAACAAAUAAUAUGCGGAAAAAAAUAAGACCACAACCACAUAUAUACAUGCACUUGCUUGCAUGUAUGUGGUGUGUACACAUGUACACGACCUGGAAAGUAUUCGGACGGGCAAUAAGAACUUAAGAUGGAUGUAUAUAGGGGUGAAAACGGGACGGAUACGGACGGAUAUUAGGUCAUCUCGUAUCCUACCCUAAUACAAUUUUAUCGGAUACAUGAUCGGAUACGGAUAGUGAAAAUCCGGGACGGAUACAGGACGUGAUCGGGUAAUAACCAGGGCGGAUAAGAAACGGAUAUCGGAUAUUACCCGGAUAGAUAACGGAUAUUAGUCGGAUAAUCCACCCUGAUGAUAUUAGUUGUCCAACCGUGAAACAAACGAAUAAAAUAAGGAAUACAUAAUUAUGUAUAUGAUAGCUCAAAUAUAGAAAAAAAUACCAACAAAACUGACACCAUACAAUUCAAAGUUACUAAUCACAAAUUCAUUAUAGAACCAAAACACGAUUUAAAAAAAACAGCAAUAUAUCCCCUUUUACGUAUAAUCCACAAGUAUAUAAUAAAUAUUAAAUAGUUCACACAAUUUUAUUAUAGAACAACAACACAAUUUAAAAAAAAUCAGCAACAUAUCCCUCUUUUAGACAUUAAUCACAAGUCCCUCUUUUAAGCAUAGCCAUGUGUGGUGGACUGGCUGCUGCGGCUCUCCUAGGGCUUCACGAUCAUGGUCUCAUGGACAAAUGCAGUGAUGCACUCACGUAUGGGCCAGUGGCCAUGAGCCCACGUCCCCACAAGUUGACGAGAUCAGUGCAUCACAAUUAGUAGAUACACUCGGUCACUUCGGCCUCUAGGCCUUGCGGCAGCCAGGCACCCACGUCACGCCCAGACAUGUUAAUAGGCUGACUGGUGUUGGGCCUGUAACUGCGAUAGCCCGGCACUGUAGUUACCCGUAUCCGACCCGGACUUCUCGGGUAUUUGCCGGGUAGUAGUCAUCCCGUAUCCUACCCGUAUCCGGCUAAUGUCUAACCGGGUACUAUCCGUAUCCGACCCGUAUACAAAAAUACCCGUAUCCGGUACCCGAAAAAUCGGGUAUUUCUAGUAUCCGUAUCCGGUACCCGCCGGGUAAUCCUGUCCUGUUUUCACCCCUAGAUGUAUUUUGAAGAAUCUGUGGACUUUUUUUCUUUGUCUUUAGAAAGUAGCCGGUCCUCUAGCUAGCUAGGACCUGUCUUUGGUCUUUCUCUCAUAGAGCAAUAGGUACACGACUUGUGUGCUAUGGAGAGUAGGAAGAGAGAAGGUAGAUAGGAAGAUCAUACCUUUUAAUUUAGGACCAAGGUGGACACACGUCGUAGUAUAGCAGAUGGGGUCGUAGACACCACCUCUGGGACUCAAGUUCCUCCCUCUUGAUUUGUUUUUCCUCCUCCCUUGAGUCAUUAGUCGCCGACGUAGAACCGUCAGAUCCACACCGGGUGCCAUAGAGGAUGUUGGACGAGAUCCUUUUCUCAUGUGACGGCUAGGAUUAGCGGAAGUGUUGGCUUCCAUGUUUUUCCUUUGAUCUCUCAAGAAAUAAGUUGAACGGGGGAGUAGAUACGGUGUUCGUCUCGGCUAUAAAAACUUACGAGUUAGGGAUAAUAUUUGACAACUUUUUGUCUUCAAGAAGCUUCUUUACAAAUCUGUUCGAGGAGACUUUUCUUUCUUACUAAAAAAAUAAAAUGAAUACUUAUUUUAGAAAACUUCUUAAGAUGUUCUAAGGACGUAUUUUUAUUUUUAUUUUCUUCUCGCUAUGUUUUUCUUGUAAAAUUUCAAUAUUUUUUAAAUUUCUAUAUACCAAACAUUGCCCUAAAUAGGGAUGGCAAGGGUACAUAUCUGUCGGGUAGUAUCAUUCCAUAUUCAUACCCAUAAAAAAAUUCUACCCGUCGGGUUAUACCAUAUAUGCUCACGGGUAUAAAAUCUUACUCAUACUCAUACCCGCGCGGGUAAUUUUACCCGUCGGGUAAUCCAUACCCGCUAGGAAAGUCUUAAAUUCAAAUAUACCAAUCACUCAAAAUAUUAAAUAAACAUACAAAAAAACAAGUUCAACUUCACAUAUAACAAAUCAUAUGAUUACAUAACUUGAUAGCUAAACAAAUAAUAGCCAUAGAAAGGUUUUAUUUUAGCUAAGAUGGGCUCUAUUAGAUAGUUAUAGUGGUAAUGAUGCGGGUAUAUUUUACCCAUGGAUAGACGGGUAUAGAUAGUAUCAACAUGUAGUCGUACCCAUCUACCUAACAGUAGAGGUUCUUACCCAUUAACAUACCCGCGGGUAGAAAAAUCAUCACAUACCAUCUUCAUAUCGGGUAAAACCCGUCGGGUAUUCGGGUUUCGGGUACCUAUUGACAUCUCUAGCCCUAAACCUAUCUAGCAGUGUCAAAGCUUUUUUUUCCUUUAAACAAGUUAUUACUGGUGGUAUGGUCUUUGCACUUUAGGCUAUCUUCAACAAUCUUAGGUGGCGUUUGGCAGAGCUCCACAGCUCAGCUCCCAAUAAGAAUCACCUCUAGGAAGCCAAACAACUACAAACUGAGUUGCUCUAUGGUAGGAGUGAAAUGAAUCUAGUCUCAAUUUUGUACUAGAGACUAGAGAGUGGAAGCCAAAAAAUUGUUUCAUGCUGCUCCCAAGCUGCUCCCCCACAUUCCAACCCCUCAAAAAUCACUUCACGCAUAAUUUUUCAAACGGUUUUUAUCAAAUAGAUUCACUCUAUUGAAGAAUUAUUUGGAAUCACUCUGUUGAAGAAUUAGCUAUCAGAGCGAGAAUCAUAGAGUAGGGCUCUGUCAAACGAGCCCUUACUUAUAUCAACUUUUAUUUUAAAUUUUACUUUAUAAAUAAUAAAAUAUAUAAUAUAAAUGGUGUUUUGUACUGCUAACCACUCUUCCGGUCCUUUACGUGGCACGACCCGUGUAAUCAUGCCAAAACACCGUACAUUAACAGUAGGACCGAGCCAGCGGUGGACUACAGAUUACUUCCAAAGGUCAUGCAUCAUGCAAGGUAUAUGGGCCGAAACGAGGAAGACCUUUUUCUCCUUUAGCACCAAGCGAGAGGAAUUAGACCAUGUUUGGUUCUACCAAAAUAAUCAUUAUCUGCUAAACUUUAACUAUCAAACAAGCCAUCUAAUGAAUUAAAUAAACUUUAGUUAGAGCUCAGAUUCCAUUUUCAGGGCAUGUACAACCUUGACUACUUGGAUCGAUUUUGAAGUAUAAGAGACAACUAAGAGGCUACAUCAUGCAAUCCUGAGUCGUAGAUUAUAAAUGCAGUUAAGAGACAAUACAUAUAGACCCCUUAAUUAAUGGAAGUUAGAGGAAGAAGAAGAGAAAAAUAGCUCCUCACUCUAUUGGAGAAAGAGAUGGAAGGUAGAGGAAAAGGGAUUAGGAAGAAGAAAAAUGAGUCCCUCUACCAUUUUGUGUUCCUUCCACUAAUGGUCACUAUAAAAUCAACCCCUUAUUCAGUCCAAUCUUGGAUCCGCCACUAAUAAUAAUAGAUGAUUGACCUGUAUAUCCAUGAUUUUCACUGGUGUGACAUACCGAUAUUAUUUUAUUUAUAUCAGCUAAUCCGUUAUCUAGAAUAAUCAAGAACCUCACCGUUUGCUAAACUUUAGUUAACUAUUACUUUCAUCUAAACUUUAGGUUGGUUUAAUUGAAAUGGAACUUAGUUUGGGCAAAUGCACAAUCCGAUCACCAAAUUUCAACCAAGCAAUACAACCGAAACCACCACGACAACAUAGAACGUACUAUAUGUCACUCUCGUCGUCAUGUAUUUGUAAUUAUGUAUGUAUAGGUGUAGGUAUACGUGUACAUGGGAGCAUGGCAAGGCCAUCCGAUCAGGCAGAGCCGCCCUUGAGCCUCUUGGCGAUGCCGGCGAAGUACUUGCCCUGGUGGAAGGCGUGCUCCAGCUCCAGCUCCGUCGGCCACCGCGACCCGUCCCCGGCGAAAGUGUGCCCGCGCCGUACGGGCUGCCGCCGUGCACGCUCUCCAUGUCGAAUAUCUUGGCGCCGAACGUGUACCCCACCGGCACGAACACCAUCCCGUGGUGCGUCAGCUGCGUCACCGCCGUCAGCCCGACAAAUUAAGGGAAAACGUGAGCAUAUGCUACACUAUUACCCACUGCCACUGCCAUGGAUGAGUUGGUGCAAGCAAUGCGAGGUGAGGUGAUGUGCCGAGGUCGGGUCAACGAUGACGACUCACGGCGUGGUCUCCUGCCCGCCGCCCUGGCUGCUGGUGCUGAAGAAGAGGCCGGCGGGCUUGCCAGCCAGGCUCUGCUCCCGCCACAGCCCGCCGGUCGCGUCGAAGAAGGCCUUCAUCUGCGCGGCCAUCAUGCCGAACCGCGUGGGGAAGCCGAAGAGGAUGCCGUCGGCUGGCCUCGGCGAGCUCCUGCGGCGUGAUGAUCGGCGCGUCCGUCUUGGGUGGUGCGCCCAUCUUGCCGAGCACCUCCUCGGAUAGAAUUUCUGGGACCUUUACGAAUCGGAGGCAUGGGCGUGAAAUUGAGGAAAUUUGAUGGUGUUGGAUGAUAACUUCAGAGUCAUGCGUCGAUCAAACCCGAAGAUUGCAUCGUUGCUGCUGACACUGACCUGCCAUACUUUGACCUCCACGCCUUCAACUGACGCGGCGCCUUUCUUGAUCUCCUCAGCUAGCUUGGCAACAUGAACUGAAACAAUCUAGUACAGGCCAGUAUAUCACUUUCAGUAAACACACAGUUUGCAAUCCUCAGGAAACAAGUUGUGAAUAUACUAGAGCAGGCACCAGUGAAGGCUAAAAUAUUGCCACAGCAGACUAUAAGAAUCGAUUAGGUAUUUCGGUGUAAUGAUGAACCGGAAAGAAACAAGUGCUUCCCAUCUUUUAAUCAAAAUAUCAAAUUAGGCUUCUAGAUGCUCUUGCUUUUUGGGUAGUUGGACAGUCUCAUUCAGGCAGCUAAACUAAGGCAUGGGCGGAUUAUAAUUACUUAAUACAAAAGGAUAUUAGAGUGGUUGUUGAUCCUUUUAAGUCCAUGUUUGGUUUCUUUAGUCUAGAGACUAAAGUUUAGUCUCUAACAUGUUUGGUUCUAUGAACUAAAAUUAGUAAAAAUAUACUAAAUGACUUAUAAGAAGACUAAAAAUGACCUUUAACAUUCUCCUGUUAUUAGUACAAUUGAACUAAAUGAGGGGCAAAUGUGGAAUUAAUAUGGUUUAGUUCCUUUUAGCCACAUCUUAAGGGACUAGGGACUAAAGCAAUUUAGUCUCUGUUUUAGCGCUACCGUUUAAUAAUUUAGUAACUAAAUAAGACUAAAAUGGAGAGACUAAUCUUUAGUCUCUCAAACCAAACGUGGCCUAACAUGUCAUACAGAUGUGACGACCACAGCUAAAGAGAUGCGAUUUGGAUUGAAAGCACACAGUGGCUUGACACUUACAACACGACGCUUACACCAAGUAUUGAACAAUAAAACAGUCAACUCUAUGCCCAAGGAUACUGCUCAUUUUUUGCUGCUCAAAAGCGGCAUCCUGUGUUUUUUUUACUCAAAUUUGAAGUUUCUGCACGUUCGAUGGUGGAGCCAAACGGACCGUAUGCCGUGUUAUUUGGGUAUUAUUUUUUUGCGAAACAAAUGCGCAAGGGAUGCAAAACUGUGCGCCAAGUAAAUGGACAAAUGGUCCAUGUGUUGAUGUGAAAGUGGGAAGCAACAAGAGGUAGCUAACAUGCAUGCCCAUCAGCAGACAGAGUGGAACUGUUACUGUACUGCUGUAGUGGAAAAUCCAUAUCAACUGAAAAGGGCAUCCGUGGACUUCAUAAUUGCCCACAAGAGAAGAGCAUCUAUCGUUGAGGUGAUUCAUUCUAGAAGUUUGCAUGUAUAGACGCAGAAAGUCACAAGCAAAAGGGUACAUAUAAUGACUGAUGGAAAACUGAACAUGCUGUCGUUUUACACAUGGUUGGGUUUAUGCGUAAUAGGAACGACCGAUAGAGAAAUAUGAUAAAGAUAUCUUCCUAGACUUCUAGGCUCUUUUAGGUAGUGUUCAGUUGGAAUGGAGCACCUUCGUGCCAAAAAACGGCUAUGUCCGGUAUAUUUUGAGGAGCCGGAUGAUCGUCGUUUAAAUAUAAUUUUUCUUUUUUUAGAGCCAAUCAAUUCUACACGGCACCAAUUUAAACAACAUCAAAUUAGAAGCAGGAUGGCUUCGUCCAACUAUACUUCGAAACCAAACAAUACCUUAGUCUGUCCUUCUCUCCCUCUUCAUUUGCGUGGUUGUAUUUUUUUAAAAAAGAUUUCUUGUUAAUUCAUUUUCAGUAGGGGUGCAAACCCCUCAUGUCUUUCUCAAAGAAAAUGAUAAAGAUCCGCAAAUAAUUUUGAAGUUGUUAAGAAAGUGUGUUGCAUUAUAACUAUAAUUCGUUGAGCUCGAUAAACAAACUUCAACUUGAACGUGACGGAUUAACCUUGAGUCGGUUAUUUGAACAUGUGGUUGACUUUGCAUAAUACACGCAUGUCCAUUCCAUAUUUUGAAUGUUGAGUUAUUUUUUAAAAAAAUGGUGUCCAGCUAUACUACCAGCAGAGCCAGGAGAGAAACAAAAAUCGCAUUGCUAAAAAAUACUAUGUCCUUUUGCUCCCAGCAAAUGGUGGGAUCAGGGAGUUGGUAAAGAUGCCAUACAUGACUAAAUGAGAUGCUCCUUGUCAAAGCAGCCGUCCUUGAAGUAGGCUAAUUAACCGGCGUGAGUCCGCGUCGUUUGGAUAAAUUCUAUUCUAAUAAUAGUAAUUUAGAUACAUAUCAAUUAAGCUAAUUUAGUUUUAUACAAAAUAUAUUUGUAUAUUAUUAUUAGCAAGAUGUCGGAGACAUUUAUGUGUUACAUUUUUAUUAUGGAAGAGUGAGUUGUGAGCCGAAAAGUGUCUAAGUUGUAGAGCAGAAACAAAUUCUACUGAUACAUAAAAUUAUUUCUCAUCCUCCACUCUAUGAAUUUGAAAACUUUGGAAAGCGGUAGAAUAUUAAAUUUCAAGCUAAAUGGAUUACUUUAUUAAAUAAUUUUCAAUUCCUACAAAAUGAAGUGAACUAAACGUCCAAUUAAUCUAAUUGAUCUACGAGCUAUCUUCCACGGCCUCCCAAUCAAAGUUCAAAGCAUACCAGAGGCCAAGGCCUAACCACUCCCUCGUGGACGUAAUCGAGACAAUGACAGGCAAAAAAGGAGCCUAGAUUAUUCAUUGAUACUGGACACAGUCGUGAUGAUCGAGAUUGGAACUUCUAGACGUAUCACUGGACGUACCAGAGCAACUAAGACAAUGAAAAAAAAGGGCGAAUGGCCUGUAUUUUCUGAACACGGUAGUACUCUAGUCGAUUCGAAUCACAAACAUCUAAGUUCAGCGCUCAUGCGGUUUCAUCCGAACUUACGAAGGAUUCGGCAGCUCUGUACAGAAUCCGUGACGGGGAGAAGAAGCAAACUGAAAGUCGCCUAGAGGGAGUGAAUAGGGCGAAACUGAAAUUCUCAAAAUAAUCACAACUACAAGUCGGGUUAGCGUUAGAAAUAUAAUAGAGUCCGCGAGAGAGGGUGCAAAACAAAUCGCAAGCGAAUAAUGAAGUGAGACACGCGGAUUUGUUUUACCGAGGUUCGGUUCUCUCAAACCUACUCCCCGUUGAGGAGGCCACAAAGGUCGGGUCUCUUUCAACCCUUACCCUCUCUCAAACGGUCCCUCGGACCGAGUGAGCUUUCUCUUCUCAAUCACUUGGAACAAAAAGUUCCCACAAGGACCACCACAAGAUUGGUGUCUCUUGCCUCAAUUACAAGUGAGUUUGAUCGCAAUGAAAGAAUCAAGAAAGAAGAAAGCAAUCCAAGCGCAAGAGCUCGAAAGAACACAAGCAAAUCUCUCUCUCUAAUCACUAGGGCGUUGUGUGGAAUUUGGAGAGGAUUUGAUCUCUUUGGUGUGUCUAGAAUUGAAUGCUAGAGCUCUUGUAAGUAGUUGGGAAGUGGAAAACUUGGAUGCAAUGAAUGGUGGGUUGUUGGGGGUAUUUAUAGCCCCAACCACCAAACUAGUCGUUUGGUGAGGCUGUCUGUUCGAUGGCGCACCGGACAGUCCGGUGCACACCGGACAUGUCCGGUGCGACAGCCAUGUCACCAAAAGCCGUUGGGGUCGACCGUUGGAGCUCUGUCUUCUGGGCCCGCCUAGAUGUCCGGUGGCGCACCGGACAUGCACUGUAGAUUGUCCGGUGCGCCAGCAUGGGCGUGCCUGACCUCUGCGCGCGCAGCGCGCGCAUUUAAUGCGUCGCAGGUAGCCGUUGGCGCCGAAAUAGCCGUUACCCCGCUGUUACACCGGACAGUCCGGUGUACACCGGACAGUCCGGUGUACACCAGACAGUCCGGUGAAUUAUAGCGAAGAUGCUUCAAUGAAAUCCCGAGGCUGGCGAGUUCCGGAGGCCGCUCUUCCUUGGAGCACCGGAUAUGUCCGGUGUACACGGAACAGUCCGGUGAAUUAUAGCGGAGUCACCUCUAGAAUUUCCCGAAGGUGACGAGUUUGAAGUCGGAGUCCUCUGGUGCACCGGACAUGUCCGGUGGCACACCGGACAGUCCGGUGCGCCAGACCAGAGGUGCCUUCGGUUGUCCCUUUGCUCUUUGGUUGAACCCAAUACUUUGUCUUUUUAUUGGCUAAGUGUGAACCUUUGGCCUCUGUAUAACUUAUACACUAGAGCAAACUAGUUAGUCCAAAUAUUUGUGUUGGGCAAUUCAACCACCAAAAUUAUUUAGGAACUAGGUGUAAGCCUAAUUCCCUUUCAAUCUCCCCCUUUUUGGUGAUUGAUGCCAACACAAACCAAAGCAAAUAUAAAAGUGCAUAAUUUGAACUAGUUUAAUAAUGUAAGUGCAAAGGUUGUUUGGAAUUGAGCCAAUAUAAGUACUUACAUGAUGUGCAUGGAUUGUUUCUUUGUUUUUAACAUAUUGGACCACAUUUGCACCACAUGUUUUGUUUUGCAAAUUCUUUUGUAAAUUCUUUUCAAAAUCCUUUUGCAAGAUAGUCAAAGGUAAAUGAAUAAGAUUUUUGCAAAGCAUUUUCAAGUUUUGAAAUUUUCUCCCUUUGAUCCAAAUGUUUUUCCUUUGACUAAACAAAAACUCCCCCUCAAAUAAAUUCUCCUCUUAGUGUUCAAGAGGGUUUUAAGAUAUCAAGUUUUGAAAAUACUACUUGCUCCCCCUUUAGAACACAAAGAGAUACCAAUUUGAAAUUUUCCAAUUGAAAAUCAUUAAUUUUAAAAAUUAGGGUGGUGGUGCAGUCCUUUUGCUUUGGGCUCAUACUUUCUCCCCCUUUGGCAUGAAUCGCCAAAAACGGAUACUUUGAGUGAGAUAUAAGCCCUUAGAAGUACUUUCUCCCCCUUUGGUCAUAAAUAAAUGAGUGAAGAUUAUACCAAAGACGGAGAGUGAUGUGGAGCGACGGCGAAGGGUGAGUUGUAGAGUGGAGUGGAAGCCUUUGUCUUCGCCGAGGACUCCAAUUCCCUUUCAAUAUACCUAUGACUUGGUUUGAAAUAUACUUGAAAAACACAUUAGUCAUACCAUAUAUAAAAGAGACAUGAUCAAAGGUAUAUUUAUGAGCUAUGUGUGCAAGUUUAGCAAAAGAAAUUUCUAGAAUCAAGAAUAUUGAGCUCAUGCCUAAGUUUGGUAAAAGUUUGUUCAUCAAGAGGCUUGGUAAAGAUAUCGGCUAAUUGAUCUUUAGUGUUAAUGUAUGAAAUCUCGAUAUCCCCCUUUUGUUGGUGAUCCCGAAGAAAAUGAUACCGAAUGGCUAUGUGUUUAGUGCGUCUAUGCUCAACGGGAUUAUCCGCCAUGCGGAUUGCACUCUCAUUAUCACAUAGAAGAGGAACUUUGGUUAGUUUGUAACCGUAGUCCCGCAGGGUUUGCCUCAUACAAAGCAAUUGCGCGCAACAGUGGCCUGCGGCAAUAUACUCGGCUUCAGCGGUAGAAAGAGCGACCGAAUUUUGCUUCUUAGAAGCCCAAGACACCAAGGAUCUUCCCAAGAACUGGCAAGUCCCUGAUGUGCUCUUUCUAUUAAUCUUACACCCCGCCCAAUCGGCAUCCGAAUAACCAAUCAAAUCAAAUGUGGAUCCCCGAGGGUACCAAAGCCCAAACUUAGGAGUAUAAGCCAAAUAUCUCAAGAUUCGUUUUACGACCGUAAGGUGUGAUUCCUUAGGGUCGGCUUGGAAUCUUGCACACAUGCAAACGGAAAGCAUAAUGUCCGGUCAAGAUGCACAUAAAUAAAGCAAUGAACCAAUCAUCGAUCGGUAUACCUUUUGAUCCACGGACUUACCUCCCGUGUCGAGGUUGAGAUGCCCAUUUGUUCCCAUGGGUGUCUUGAUGAGCUUGGCAUCCUUCAUUCCAAACUUGCUUAGAAUGUCUUGAGUAUACUUUGUUUGGCUAAUGAAGGUGCCCUCUUGGAGUUGCUUGACUUGGAAUCCUAGAAAAUACUUCAACUCCCCCAUCAUCGACAUCUCGAAUUUCUUUGUCAUGAUCCUACUAAAUUCUUCACAUGUAGAUUCGUUAGUAGACCCAAAUAUGAUAUCAUCAACAUAAAUUUGGCAUACAAACAAAUCAUUAUCAAGAGUUUUAGUGAAUAAAGUAGGAUCGGCCUUGCCGACUUUGAAGCCAUUUGCAAUAAGGAAAUCUCUAAGGCAUUCAUACCACGCUCUUGGGGCUUGCUUGAGCCCAUAAAGCACCUUAGAGAGCCUAUAAACAUGGUUAGGGUACUCACUAUCUUCAAAGUCGGGAGGUUGCAAACAUAGACCUCCUCCUUGAUCGGUCCGUUGAGGAAGGCACUCUUCACGUCCAUUUGGUAAAGCUUGAAGCCAUGGUAAGUAGCAUAGGCUAAUAAUAUGCGAAUUGACUCAAGCCUAGCUACGGGUGCAUAGGUUUCACCGAAAUCCAAACCUUCGACUUGGGAGUAUCCCUUGGCCACAAGUCGAGCUUUGUUCCUAGUCACAACACCAUGCUCGUCUUGCUUGUUGCGGAAGACCCACUUGGUUCCUACAACAUUUUGAUUAGGACGUGGAACUAAAUGCCAUACCUCGUUCCUCGUGAAGUUGUUGAGCUCCUCUUGCAUCGCCAUCACCCAAUCCGCAUCUUGGAGUGCUUCCUCUACCCUAUGUGGCUCAAUAGAGGAAACAAAAGAGUAAUGCUCACAAAAAUGUGCAACACGAGAUCGAGUGGUUACCCCCUUAUGAAUGUCGUCGAGGAUGGUUGUCGGGGACCAUAAUUAGGGGUACCCUCAAGGCUCCUAAUUCUCAGCUGGUAACUCCCAUCAGCAUGAAGCUGCAAAGGCCUGAUGGGUGCGAUUAAGUCAGGGAUCAGUCCAUUCGAGGGACACGAUCACGCCUCACCCGAGCCUAGCCUCGGACAAGGGCAGCCGACCCCGGAGGAUUUCCGUCUCGCCCGAGGCCCCCCUUCAGCAGCGAACAUAUUCCCGGCUCACCCGAGGCCCUGCCUUCGCUAAGAAGCAACCCUGACCAAAUCGCCGCACCGACCGACCAAGUCGCAGGAGCAUUUAAUGCAAAGGUGGCCUGACACCCUUAUCCUGGCGCGCGCCCCCCGCCGGCAAAGCCGAAGUGACCGCCGUCACUUCGCCGCUCCACUGACCGGCCUGACAGAAGGACAGCGCCGCCUACGCCGCGCCGACUGCAGUGCCACUGGACAGAGUAAGACUGACAAGCAGUCAGGCCCUGCCGGAGGCACCAUAGGAAGCUCCGCUUCGCCUGACCAAGGGCUCGGACUCGGGCCAAGUCCCGGAAGACGGCAAACUCCGCCCGACCCAGGGCUCGGACUCGGGCUAGGCCCCAGAAGACGAUGAUCUCCGCCCGACCCAGGGCUCGGACUUGGGCUAAGUCCCAGAAGACGGCGAACUCCGCCCGACCCAGGGCUCGGACUCGAGCUAAGUCCCGGAAGACGGCGAACUCCGCCCGACCCAGGGCUCGGACUUGGGCUCGGCCCUAGAAGACGACGAUCUCCGCCUCGCCCGACCCAGGGCUCGGACUUGGGCUCGGCCCCAGAAGACGACGAUCUCCGCCUCGCCCGACCCAGGGCUCGGACUUGGGCUCGGCCCUAGAAGACGACGAUCUCCGCCUCGCCCAACCCGGGGGCUCGGACUCGACCUCGGCUUCGGAGGAGCUUCCACAUCGCCCAACCUAGGGCGUAGACCAGCCAUGACAACAGGAGGCGCCAUCAUCACCCUACCCCGAGCUGACUCGGGCCGCAGGGAACAAGACCGGCGUCCCAUCUGGCUCGCUCCGCCAGAUAGGCAAUGAUGGCGCCGCGCAUGCUCUGUGACGGCGGCGGCUCUCAGCCCCCUUACGGAAGCAAGAGGACGUCAGCAAGGACUCAACCGCUCCGACAGUUGUCCCUCCGCCAAGCUCCAUCGGUCCUUCGACGGCCACGACAUCACACCAGCUGGGUGCCAAGAUCUCUCCGGCUGCCACAACGGCAUGUACCUAGGGCGCUAGCUCACCUCCGCUAGACAUGUAGCACCUUGCUACACCCCCCAUUGUACACCUGGAUCCUCUCCUUACGCCUAUAAAAGGGAGGACCAGGGCCCUCUUAGAAAGGGUUGGCCGCGCGGGGACGAGGACGAGAACAGGCGCUCGCUUGGAGCCGCUCGCUCCCUCUCCCGCGUGGACGCUUGUAACCCCCUACUGCAAGCGCACCCGACCUGGGCGCGGGACGAACACGAGGGCCGCGGGAUUCCCACCUCUCUCACGCCGGUCUCCGGCCGCCUCGCUCUCCCCCUUCACGCUCGCCCUCGCGCUCGACCCAUCUGGGCUGGGGCACGCGGCGACAUUCACUUGUCGGCCCAGGGACCCCCCGGUCUCGGAACACCGACAAUUGGCGCGCCAGGUAGGGGCCUGCUGCGUGUUGACGAACAGCUUCCCGUCAAGCUCCAGAUGGGUAGUCUCCAGCAACCUCUCCAACCCGGGACGGUGCUCCGUUUCGGGAGUCUUGAGUUCAUAUCCCUUGACGGCAGCUACGACAUGAUGCUCCUUCCACCGCCGUGCGACAACAACGGUGGCGGCCGACAACCCGCCUGCCGGCGGCGGAAUCGGCGACGUCUUCCCCGCAUGGUGGAAGAACAACCUUCGAGCUCACCCCGUCCUCUCCCCCGUCGACGGAGGAGGAGGCGGGGCAACCAAGGCCAAGCAGGAGGCAGCGCCUCGUCGGCUGUUGAGCGAGUCGACGGUCCCGGCACCCCAACGGGGGGCGCACCAGGCGUCGACCUCGCGUUUGAGACGAAGGCGAGCGUCGUCUCCCCGCGACACGCCAAUCCCGAGCAAGCGGGCGACGCUAGCACGCUCACGAAAAGCUUGCUGGACGUCACCCUCGUACCUGAGACGACGGCGCAGUCAGUCCCCGACACGACCUUAUCACCGCCCGUCGACCAAAAGGUACCGAUCGAUUCCCAUCCCGCGUCUUUCGGGUUCAGCCUCAACCCGUCUAGCGACUUCGCUUUGGCAGGCGCUCUCGUAGAGGCAAAUCUAGACCCUCUAGGGUUUCGUGUGCGGUCACCUUGGGACCGGCUGACGGACGUCUCGACCUACGGGCCCUCUGGGUCCGAGGAAGACGACGAACCCAGCAUCUGUUGGGAUUUCUCUGGACUUGGUAACCCCAGUGCCAUGCGGGACUUCAUGACCGCAUGCGACUACUGCCUUUCCGACUGUUCCGACGGUAGCCGAAGCCUCGGCGACGAGGAUCGCGGCCCAAGUCGCGAAUGCUUCCACGUCGAUCUAGAGGGUCCCCCCGAAGGCAGCCAUUUCGGCAUGCCGGAGGACGGUGACCUCCCUAGGCCGGUGCCUCGCGUUGACAUCCCACGGGAGCUAGCUGUGGUCCCCGUUCAGGCGGGGGGUCAUGACCCACAGCUCGAGCAAAUCCGUGGGGUGCAGGCCGGGCUCGACGAGGGAGCAGGAGCGCUGGAGCCGAUCCGUCGGGACGUCGGGCAGGCAUGGGCGGGCCAACCUCCGGCCGGAGAAAUACGUCAUCUACCCCAGGGUUUCCAGCACCGCAUCACCGACGACGUCAGGCUCAGGCCACCACCCGCAUCCAGUGGGGUCGGCCAGAACCUGGCGGCAGCAGCAAUGCUUCUUCGCGCGAUGCCAGAGCCAUCAACCACCGAGGGGCGGCGAAUCCAGGGAGAACUCAAGAAUCUCCUGGAAGGCACCGCGGUCCGACGGGCCGAGAGCUCUGCCUCCCGAAGGUAGGGGUACCCCUCGGAACCUCAUGCUGUGACUUCCCGAUCCAUGCGGGAAGCCUCGGUCUACACCGGGCGCACGCGCAACACCACGCCUGCGGCCCCGGGUCGCCUCGGCAACGAGCACCACCACCGCAACCGACGGGCCCACCUCGACGAGAGGGUGCGCCGAGGCUACCACCCCAGGCGUGGGGGACGCUACGACAGCGGGGAGGAUCGGAGUCCCUCGCCCGAACCACCCGGCCCGCAAGCCUUCAGCCGAGCCAUCCGACGGGCGCCGUUCCCGACCCGGUUCCGGCCCCCGGCUACUAUUACAAAGUACUCGGGGGAGACGAGACCGAAACUGUGGCUCGCGGACUACCGUCUGGCCUGCCAACUGGGUGGAACAGACGAUGACAACCUCAUCAUCCGCAACCUCCCCCUGUUCCUCUCCGACUUCGCUCGCGCCUGGUUGGAGCACCUGCCUCCGGGGCAGAUCUCCAACUGGGACGACCUAGUCCAAGCUUUCGCCGGCAAUUUCCAGGGCACGUAUGUGCGCCCCGGGAAUUCCUGGGACCUCCGAAGCUGCCGACAGCAGCCGAGAGAGUCUCUCCGAGACUACAUCCGGCGAUUCUCGAAGCAGCGCACCGAGCUGCCCAACACACCGACUCGGAUGUCAUCGGCGCGUUCCUCGCUGGCACCACCUGCCGAGACCUGGUGAGCAAGCUGGGCCGCAAGACCCCAACCAGGGCGAGCGAGCUGAUGGACAUCGCCACCAAGUUCGCCUCCGGCCAGGAGGCGGUCGAGGCUAUCUUCCGAAAGGACAAGCAGCCCCAGGGCCGCCCAUCGGAAGGUACUCCCGAGGCGUCAACUCAGCGCGGUGCCAAGAAGAAGGGCAAGAAGAAGUUGCAAACGAAACGCGACGCCACCGACGCGGACCUCGUCGCCGCCGCCGAGUACAAGAACCCUCGGAAGCCCCCCGGAGGUGCCAACCUCUUCGACAAGAUGCUCAAGGAGUCGUGCCCCUAUCACCAGGGACCGGUCAAGCACACCCUUGAGGUGUGCGUCAUGCUUCGGCGCCACUUCCACAGGGCCGGGCCACCCGCGGAGGGUGGCAAGGCCCACGACGACGACAAGAAGGAAGAUCACCAGGGAGGAGAGUUCCCCGAGGUCCGCGACUGCUUCAUGAUCUAUGGUGGGCAAGCGGCGAACGCCUCGGCUCGGCACCGCAAGCAAGAGCGCCGGGAGGUCUGCUCGGUCAAGGUGGCGGCGCCAGUCUAUCUAGACUGGUCCGACAAGCCCAUCACCUUCGACCGAGACGAUCACCCCGACCAUGUGCCGAGCCCGGGGAAAUACCCGCUCGUCGUCGACCCCGUCAUCGGCGACGUUAGGCUCACCAAGGUCCUCAUGGACGGAGGCAGCAGCCUCAACAUCAUCUACGUCGAGACCCUCGGGCUCCUGCGUGUUGAUCUGUCCUCUGUCCGGGCAGGCGCUGCGCCCUUCCAUGGGAUCAUCCCCGGGAAGCGCGUCCAACCCCUCAGACAGCUCGACCUUCCCGUCUGCUUAGGAACACCCUCCAACUUCCGAAGGGAGACCCUGACGUUCGAGGUGGUCGGGUUCCGAGGAACCUACCACGCGGUACUGGGGAGGCCAUGCUACGCGAAGUUCAUGGCCGUCCCCAACUACACCUACCUGAAGCUCAAGAUGCCGGGCCCCAACGGGGUCAUCACCGUCGGCCCUACGUACAAACAUGCGUUCGAAUGCGACGUGGAGUGCGUGGAGUACGCCGAGGCCCUCGCCGAGUCCGAGGCCCUCAUCGCCGACCUGGAGAGCCUCUCUAAGGAGGUGCCAGACGUGAAGCGUCACGCCGGCAACUUUGAGCCAGCGGAGACGGUUAAGUCCGUUCCCCUCGACCCCAGCGGCGACACCUCCAAGCAGAUCCAGAUCGGCUCCGGGUUCGAUCCCAAAUAGGAAGCAGUGCUCGUCGACUUUCUCCGCGCGAACGCCGACGUCUUCGCGUGGAGCCCCUCGGACAUGCCCGGCGUACCGAGGGAUGUCGCCGAGCACUCGCUGGACAUCCAAGCCAGAGCCCGACCCGUCAAGCAGCCGCUGCGCCGAUUCGACGAGGAGAAGCGCCGAGCCAUAGGCGAGGAGAUUCACAAGCUAAUGGCGGCAGGGUUCAUCAAAGAGGUAUUCCAUCCCGAAUGGCUUGCCAACCUUGUGCUUGUGAGAAAUAAAGGGGGGAAAUGGCGGAUGUGUGUAGACUACACUGGUCUCAACAAAGCAUGUCCGAAGGUUCCCUACCCUCUGCCUCGCAUCGACCAAAUCAUGGAUUCCACUGCUGGGUGCGAAACCCUGUCUUUCCUCGAUGCCUACUCAGGGUAUCAUCAAAUCAAGAUGAAAGAGUCCGACCAGCUCGCGACUUCUUUCAUCACACCCUUCGGCAUGUACUGCUAUGUCACCAUGUCGUUCGGUUUGAGGAAUGCGGGCGCAACGUACCAACGGUGCAUGAACCAUGUGUUCGGCGAACACAUUGGCCGCAUAGUCGAGGCCUACGUCGAUGACAUCGUAGUCAAGACGAGGAAAGCCUCCGACCUUGAAACGACAUUCUGAUGUCUCAAGACGAAAGGUGUCAAGCUCAAUCUCGAAAAGUGUGUCUUCGGGGUGCCCCGAGGCAUGCUCUUGGGGUUCAUCGUCUCCGAGCGGGGCAUCGAAGCCAACCCGGAAAAGAUCGCAGCCAUUACCAGCAUGGGGCCCAUCAAGGACUUGAAAGGCGUACAGAGGGUCAUGGGAUGCCUCGCGGCUCUGAGCCGCUUCAUCUCACGCCUCGGCGAAAGAGGUCUACCUCUGUACCGCCUCUUAAGGAAGGCCGAGUGCUUCACUUGGACCCCUGAGGCCGAGGAAGCCCUCGGGAACCUGAAGGCGCUCCUCACAAAGGCGCCUAUCUUGGUGCCCCCAGCUGCCGGAGAAGCCCUCCUGGUCUACGUCGCCGCGACCACCCAGGUGGUUAGCGUCGCGAUUGUGGUCGACAGGCAAGAAGAGGGGCAUGCAUUGCCCGUUCAGAGGCCAGUCUACUUCGUCAGCGAGGUACUGUCCGAAACCAAGAUCCGCUACCCACAAGUUCAGAAGUUGUUGUACGCGGUGAUCCUAACGCGACGGAAGCUGCGACACUACUUCGGGUCUCAUCCGGUAACUGUGGUGUCAUCCUUCCCCCUGGGAGAGAUCAUCCAGUGUCGGGAGGCCUCGGGUAGGAUUGCAAAGUGGGCGGUGGAGAUCAUGGGCGAGACAAUCUCGUUCGCUCCUCGGAAAGCCAUUAAGUCCCAGGUCUUGGUGGACUUCGUGGCUGAAUGGGUCGACACCCAGCUACCGACGGCUCCGAUCCAACCGGAGCUCUGGACCAUGUUCUUCGAUGGGUCGCUGAUGAAGACAGGGGCCGGCGCAGGCCUACUCUUCAUCUCACCCCUCGGAAAGCAUCUACGCUACGUGCUACGCCUCCACUUCCUGGCGUCCAACAAUGUGGCCGAAUAUGAGGCUCUGGUCAAUGGGUUGCGGAUCGCCAUCGAGCUAGGGGUCCGACGCCUCGACGCUCGUGGUGACUCGCAGCUCGUCAUCGACCAAGUCAUGAAGAACUCCCAUUGCCGCGACCCGAAGAUGGAGGCCUACUGCGAUGAAGUUCGGUGCCUGGAAGACAAGUUCUACGGGCUUGAGCUCAACCACAUCGCUCGGCGCUACAACGAGACUGCAGACGAGCUGGCUAAAAUAGCCUCGGGGCGAACGACGGUUCCCCCGGACGUCUUCUCCCGAGACCUGUAUCAACCCUCCGUCAAGAUCGAUGACACGUCCGAGCCCGAGGUACCCUCGGUCCAGUCCGAGGCACCCACGGCUCGACCCGAGGCGCCCUCGGCUCAGUCCGAGGCACCCUCAGCUUGACCCGAGGCGCCCUCGGUUCAGUCCGAGGUACCCUCGGCCCCCGAGGGUGAGGCACUACGCGUCGAGGAGGAGCGAAGCGGGGUCGCGCCUAAUCGAAACUGGCAGACCCCGUACCUGCAAUAUCUCCACCGAGGAGAGCUACCCCUCGACCGAGCCGAGGCUCGGCGGGUGGCGCGGCGCGCCAAGUCGUUCAUCUUGCUGGGAGAUGAGAAGGAGCUCUACCACCGCAGCCCCUCAGGCAUCCUCCAGCGAUGCAUCUCCAUCGCCGAAGGUCAGGAACUCCUACGAGAGAUACACUCGGGGGGCUUGCGGCCAUCACGCAGCGCCUCGAGCCCUUGUCGGGAACGCUUUCCGGCAAGGCUUCUACUGGUCGACGGCGGUGGCCGAUGCUACCCGAAUCGUCCGCACCUGCGAAGGGUGCCAAUUCUACGCGAGGCAGACCCAUCUGCCCGCUCAGGCUCUACAGACGAUACCCAUCACCUGGCCUUUUGCGGUGUGGGGUCUGGACCUCAUCGGCCCCUUGCAGAAGGCACCCGGGGGCUACACGCACCUGCUGGUCGCCAUCGACAAAUUCUCCAAGUGGAUCGAGGUCCGACCCCUGAACAGCAUCAGGUCCGAGCAGGCGGUGGCGUUCUUCACCAACAUCAUCCAUCGAUUCGGGGUCCCGAACUCCAUCAUCACCGACAACGGCACCCAGUUCACCGGAAGAAAGUUCCUAGACUUCUGCGAGGAUCACCACAUCCGGGUGGACUGGGCCGCCGUGGCUCAUCCCAUGACGAAUGGGCAGGUGGAGCGUGCCAACGGCAUGAUUCUACAAGGGCUCAAGCCUCGGAUCUACAAUGACCUCAAUAAGUUCGGCAAGCGAUGGAUGAAGGAACUCCCCUCGGUGGUCUGGAGUCUGAGGACAACGCCGAGCCGAGCCACGGGCUUCACGCUGUUCUUUCUAGUCUAUGGGGCCGAAGCCAUCUUGCCCACGGACUUAGAAUACGGCUCCCCGAGGACGAGGGCCUACACCGACCAAAGCAACCAAGUCAGCCGAGAAAACUCGCUAGACCAGCUAGAGGAGGCUCGGGACUAGGCCUUGCUACACUCGGCGCGGUACCAGCAGUCCCUGUGACGCUACCACGCCCGAGGGGUCUGGUCCCGAGACCUCCAGGUGGGCGACCUGGUGCUUCGACUGCGACAAGACGCCCGAGGGCGGCACAAGCUCACGCCUCCCUGGGAGGGGCCAUUCGUCAUCGCCAAGGUUCUGAAGCCCGGAACAUACAAGCUGGCCAACAGCCAAGGCGAGGUCUACGACAACGCCUGGAACAUCCAACAACUACGUCGCUUCUACCCUUAAGAUGUUUUCAAGUUGAUCAUAUACCUCGCACCCGCGCAAAGUUUAGUCAUCAAGGAAGGGUCAGCCUCGCCUCGGCAAAGCCCGACCCUCCCUCGGGGGUUAAAAGGGGGGGAACCCCCUCUGCGUCGAAAUUUUCCUCGAAAAAAAGAGAUCUUUUCUGCCAGAAUGUCUUUCGCGCUUUUUGGCUACUUCGAAAAGUGGAUCCUGAAAACGACGGAGUACACGUAAGCAGCCAAGGCUGACCGAGCCGAGGGACUCCUACGCCUCUGGGAUACGGAUACCUCACUCAUCACCUUCUGCGAUAAGUAACUCACGUUCGGAUAAGUGAUUCUGCGGACCGGACAAGUCUUCACGCUCGAAAGCUCUUCUACCGAAGCGAUCCUUCGAGCCUUUUUGACUGCGUCGGUGACAGAGCCCCAUGGACGGGUAAGAGUGCGCGUAAGCGGCAAGGCCGACCGAGCCGAGGGACUCCUACUUCUCCGGGAUACGGAUACCUCACUCAUCACCUUCCGCGAGAAGCAACUCUUGCUCGCACAAACAUUUCUGUUACCGACAAAACAGUCCAGAUGCUCGAAAUAAAAGGAAAAAGACGCAGCUUUACAACACGGCGAGGGUGUGUUUAGGCCUCGGCGGCCGCAGGAAACACACGCUACAAGACAAUCCGAUCCUGCAGGCUCGGAUCUUGACGGCUGAAGGGAGCAGCAGCACCCUUGGCAUCGACGACACCUUCGGCAAGGGCCAACCUAGCCUCGGACGGCGACGCGGUCCGAGGAUCUCCACUCUGGAGGACGACGUCAUCACCACGCCCGGGCCAUCGCCGCUAGGGUCUUCUCCGGGAAUCCGGCCCGAGCAGGCGGCUCGGCCGGUCACCCCGGGGCCUCGGCCAGUUACCUUCCGAGGACGUCGAUCCGGCCCGAGCAGGCGGCUCGGUCGGUCACCCCGAGGCCUCGGCCAGCUGCCCUCCGAGGACGUCAGCCCGACCCGAGGCCUUGGCUGGUCAAUUCCGGCGCUGGUCCCGCUAACGGACGACCCGGCCAGGCUCCGGCCAACCAGGUUUCCCUUUCGAGCCAACUCUGCCUCUGUCCAUGUUGACACCGCUACCCCUAGCCUCGGCUCAUCAAAGAGCGGCCGAGGGGUUCCUUUAACCAAGUUAGAGAAGCCUCGGACAACAAGGCCGACUGAGCCGAGGGACUACUACGCCUCCGGGAUACGGAUACCUCACUCGUCACCUGUACACGGGGCGACUCACGCUUGGUGAAGCGGUUCAGACAACCAACAGGCGAGACUCAGUGCUCGAAAAGGAGGAAAAUACACGGCUCCGUGCCAAAAUCACAUACAUGUUCAGGCCCCGACAGCCACAAUGAACAAAAACACUAGCACUCAAGGUGCCGUUACAAACGGAACUCCGGUUCCGUCCCCGCGGGUAUGGACAACCUCCACGACAAGGAAGCCCGUGGAGCGACAAGCUCUGGGCGAAUCACCAGCAAACGCGGGUCACCCCAAGGCGCAUCGGCAGAUCCUCACUCCUGUCCUCGCCACGCAAGCGAGGAAGAGGACGGAAUGUUGCAUCCUAGCUGGACAGCAACAGCCCGCCUCCCCCAGCAUGACUGGAGGACGUCUCCUCCGCAGAACUGGAGGAUGGUCUCCACCACCAGAAGCUGGAAGAGGAGGCGGUCGGCCGACCCACGCAGGGGGCAGAGCACCGGCUUGGCCCGGGCCCCGUCCCAGCGGGGAUGAUGAAGACCAGUUGGGGGCGGGGCAAAGACCACAGCCCAGCUUGCUCCUCCCCAUCCAGGGGCUGGUGGUCACCGUCUUGGGUGACCCCCGGCGAGGGGAAGCGGCCGGGCUGGCUGAUGAAAAUCCUUGAAGCCGAACGAUGGCUGAAAGGUACCAACUCCCGCGGAGUUGCGUUCCCCCAACGACAAGGCGGAAAGACGGUGGAUCCCCCCCAUCCGGGGGCCUGGAAGGUGGAAAGACACGAUGCAUAAGGGAGCGCGAAGACGUGGUCGCCCUCCAAGGGGGUCACCCUCCUUUUAAGGGCGGUCCUCCCUACUCGCGUCCCCAGCCGUCACAGGCUGAGUCUUCUCCAACACACUCCAAGGUCCUCCCCUACGGUGUGGGGGCUGGGUCCCACACGUCAUGCAAGCCAACUCAGGGCAGAAGAAGCCAAACCGCCGCGCGCGGUGCAUACAACCGCCCAGCGGUUACAACCGCCCAGCGGUGGGCAGCCAUGCAGGCGGCAUGCAACCGCGCCAAGUGGGCGCGCUCCUCCGACUCCCAACAUGCCCGGCAUGAAGGCCCAGGCCCACGCGUCAUGCAACCGGUGCGCCGGUUGCUACGUGUGAGUAACUGCAUCGCCACCCGCGCCACCACCGCACCUCCUCGACUGCGGAACCAAUACCGCGACUCAAGGCGACCCGGCGCGCGACCCAGCAGCACCAGCCUGGCGCGACGAUCAACACGGCCAAAAGCGGGCCGGCAGUAAUGGCGGUGACAGGCGAGCAGGCGCAGCGGUCGCGUCGUCAGCCAGGCUUACGUCCCAUCCGGGGGCAGCGAGAGAGCCCUCUCCCACGGCGUGAAGACAACGUGCCCGUGAUCCGUUCCUCGAACGGCUCGCGCACGCGCAACGGUCGCCCCUCCAACCACUCGCCCCAUCGCAUUAACUCCACGACGGGACACGCGGCGCCCCUGGCAGGAGAAGCGGGCGACGCUUCCCCUUCGCCAAAAUGAACGCGUCCAAAAAGGUACGCCGCGUCGUUCGAUUUUGUAUCCUUUUCCAUUUUUCCUCUUUCUCUCUCUUGCAACAGGGACCGGGAAAGAGGGAUACCCCGAAAAGGAUCCUUCCCUGAGAAGGAACCAGGCUCCGAGCCCCCCUACUGAUCAGAGGUUCGAAGGCUGGCCCCCCGGAAGGGUUCAACAGCCACCUCAAAUUCCGUGGGCCCUACACCCACUACUGGUCAGAGGUUCAAAGGCCGGCCCCUCGAAAGGGUUCAACGACCGCCUCAGGCUACUCGGGCUCCGCGCCGAAUACUGAUCAGGGGUUCGAAGGCUGGCCCCCGAAGGGUUCACAGCCGCCUCAGACGCCGAGCGAGGGAUGACCAUGGGUAUGUUCGAUACAUAACCAAGGCUCGGGCUGCGCUCCCGAGGUACCCUAGGACAUUUCUGAGACCGGCGGGAACGAUCUUGUAACAGAAUCCCACCAGAGGGAGGCAUCGAGCCCUCGGACCCCGUCGCCAGGGGACCGGGUCUGGCAGAUCACCCGCAGGUACUUUUGGGCGUGCCUCUGGGCCCCUAGCCGACCCCUAACGAAUGGGGCACGGACGUCCACUCGGAUUACCCACUUGCAGCUCGUCGGAGACACCAUGUUCGGCGCCCAUCGUGGGCAACAUGGCGCUUUCCCCCCUCCUCCUUGCGGAAAGGCGACGCAGGGGCGUAUGUAAAAAAGCCGAGUCUACCCCUGACCGCCCUCUCGCUCUGUGCAGAGGCUCGGGGGCUGCUCUCGCAAACCCGACUCCGGCCGAACCGUUGACAGCGUCAACAUACCAGCCCGAGAACUUGGGACCCGACCGUACACCUGGGCUACGGCCAGUUCGCAUGAGGGAACGACCAGACCAGCCGAAGCACUACGUGAGGUAGUAAGACCUCGAAGGAGUGAAACCACUCCUCCGAGGCCUCGGGGGCUACACCCGGCGGGUGCGCUCGCGCGCACCCACCGGAACAAAACGCAACCGAGAAAGGCUGGUCCCCUUGCAAAAAAGUGCGACGAAAGCCUCCAAGCGAGUGCAAACACUCCCUUCGAGGCUCGGGGGCUACUGUCGGGGACCAUAAUUAGGGGUACCCUCAAGGCUCCUAAUUCUCAGCUGGUAACCCCCAUCAGCAUGAAGCUGCAAAGGCCUGAUGGGUGCGAUUAAGUCAGGGAUCAGUCCAUUCGAGGGACACGAUCACGCCUCACCCGAGCCUAGCCUCGGACAAGGGCAGCCGACCCCAGAGGAUUUCCGUCUCGCCUGAGGCCCCCUUCAGCGGCGAACAUAUUCCCGGCUCGCCCGAGGCCCUGCCUUCGCUAAGAAGCAACCCUGACCAAAUCGCCGCACCGACCGACCAAGUCGCAGGAGCAUUUAAUGCAAAGGUGGCCUGACACCCUUAUCCUGGCGCGCGCCCCCCGCCGGCAAAGCCGAAGUGACCGCCGUCACUUCGCCACUCCACUGACCGGCCUGACAGAAGGACAGCGCCGCCUACGCCGCGCCGACUGCAGUGCCACUGGACAGAGUAAGACUGACAAGCAGUCAGGCCCUGCCGGAGGCACCAUAGGAAGCUCCGCUUCGCCUGACCAAGGGCUCGGACUCGGGCCAAGUCCCGGAAGACGGCGAACUCCGCCCGACCCAGGGCUCGGACUCGGGCCAGGCUCCAGAAGACGACGAUCUCCGCCCGACCCAGGGCUCGGACUCGGGCUAAGUCCCGGAAGACGGCGAACUCCGCCCGACCCAGGGCUCAGACUCGGGCUAAGUCCCGGAAGACGGCGAACUCUGCCUGACCCAGGGCUCGGACUCGGGCUAAGUCCUGGAAGACGGCGAACUCCGUCCGACCCAGGGCUCGGACUUGGGCUCGGCCCCAGAAGACGACGAUCUCCGCCUCGCCCGACCUAGGGCUCGAACUUGGGCUCGGCCCCAGAAGACGACGAUCUCCGCCUCGCCCGACCCAGGGCUCGGACUUGGGCUCGGCCCCAGAAGACGACGAUCUCCGCCUCACCCAACCCGGGGGCUCGGACUCGACCUCGGCUUCGGAGGAGCUUCCACAUCGCCCAACCUAGGGCGUAGACCAGCCACGACAACAGGAGGCGCCAUCAUCACCCUACCCCGAGCUGACUCGGGCCGCAGGGAACAAGACCGGCGUCCCAUCUGGCUCGCUCCGCCAGAUAGGCAAUGAUGGCGCAUGGCGCCGCGCAUGCUCUGUGACGGCGGUGGCUCUCAGCCCCCUUACGGAAGCAAGAGGACGUCAGCAAGGACUCAACCGCUCCGACAGUUGUCCCUCCGCCAAGCUCCAUCGCUCCUUCGACGGCCACGACAUCACACCAGCUGGGUGCCAAGAUCUCUCCGGCUGCCACAACGGCAUGUACCUAGGGCGCUAGCUCACCUCCGCUAGACACGUAGCACCUUGCUACACCCCCCAUUGUACACCUGGAUCCUCUCCUUACGCCUAUAAAAGGGAGGACCAGGGCCCUCUUAGAAAGGGUUGGCCGCGCGGGGACGAGGACGAGAACAGGCGCUCGCUUGGAGCCGCUCGCUCCCUCUCCCGCGUGGACGCUUGUAACCCCCUACUGCAAGCGCACCCGACCUGGGCGCGGGACGAACACGAGGGCCGCGGGAUUCCCACCUCUCUCACACUGGUCUCCGGCCGCCUCGCUCUCCCCCUUCGCGCUCGCCCUCGCGCUCGACCCAUCUGGGCUGGGGCACGCGGCGACAUUCACUCGUCGGCCCAGGGACCCCCCGGUCUCGGAACGCCGACAAUGGUGUCAACGGGGUGAUCUCGUUGGAUUGCUUGGUGGACUCUUGGGUGUGGCGGCCUUGGUUCUUCAUCCUCCUUGUCUUCAUCAUUUACAUCUCCCCCUUGAUCAUUGCCGUCAUCUUGAGGAGGCUCAUAAUUUUGUUCUACCUCUUUAUCAACUUGAGCCUCGUCCUCAUUUUGGGUUGGUGGAGAUGCUUGCGUGGAGGAGGAUGGUUGAUCUUGUGCAUUUGGAGGCUCUUUGGAUUCCUUAGGACACACAUCCCCAAUGGACAUGUUCCUUAGCGCUAUGCAUGGAGCCUGUUCUUCACCUAUCUCAUCAAGAUCAACUUGCUCUACUUGAGAGCCGUUAGUCUCAUCAAACACAACGUCACAAGAAACUUCAACAAGUCCUGAGGAUUUGUUAAAGACUCUAUAUGCCCUUGUGUUUGAGUCAUAUCCUAGUAAAAAGCCUUCUACAGUUUUAGGAGCAAAUUUAGAUUUUCUACCUCUUUUGACAAGAAUAAAACAUUUGCUACCAAAAACUCUAAAAUAUGAAAUAUUGGGCUUUUUACCAGUUAGGAGUUCAUAGGAUGUCUUCUUGAGGAUUCGGUGUAGAUAUAAUCGGUUGAUGGCGUAGCAAGCGGUGUUGACCGCCUCGGCCCAAAACCGAUCCGGUGUCUUGUACUCAUCAAGCAUGGUUCUUGCCAUGUCCAAUAGAGUUCGAUUCUUCCUCUCUACUACACCAUUUUGUUGUGGUGUGUAGGGAGAGGAGAACUCAUGCUUGAUGCCCUCCUCCUCAAGGAAGCCUUCAAUUUGAGAGUUCUUGAACUCCGUUCUGUUGUCGCUUCUAAUUUUCUUGAUCCUUAAGCCGAACUCAUUUUGAGCCCGUCUCAAGAAUCCCUUUAAGGUCUCUUGGGUAUGGGAUUUUUCCUGCAAAAAGAACACCCAAGUGAAGCGAGAAUAAUCAUCCACAAUAACAAGACAGUACUUACUCUCGCCGAUGCUUAUGUAAGCGAUCGGGCCGAAUAGGUCCAUGUGUAGGAGCUCCAGUGGCCUGUCACUAGUCAUGAUGUUCUUGUGUGGAUGAUGAGUGCCAACUUGCUUCCCUGCUUGGCAUGUGCUACAAAUCCUGUCUUUCUCAAAAUGAACAUUUGUUAGUCCCAAAAUGUGCUCUCCCUUUAGAAGCUUAUGAAGAUUGUUCAUCCCAACGUGGGCUAGUCGGCGAUGCCAGAGCCAACCCAAGUUAGUCUUAGCAAUUAAGCAUGUGUCGAGUUCAGCUCUAUCAAAAUCUACCAAGUAUAGCUGACCCUCUAACACACCCUUAAAUGCUAUUGAAUCAUCACUUCUUCUAAAGACAGUGACACAUACAUCAGUAAAUAGACAGUUGUAGCCCAUUUGACAUAAUUGGGAUACGGAAAGCAAAUUGUAAUCUAAAGAAUCUACAAGAAAAACAUUGGAAAUAGUAUGGUCAGGUGAUAUAGCAAUUUUACCCAAUCCUUUGACCAAACCUUGAUUUCCAUCCCCGAAUGUGAUAGCUUGUUGGGGAUCUUGGUUUUUCUCAUAUGAGGAGAACAUCUUCUUCUCCCCUGUCAUGUGGUUUGUGCACCCGCUGUCGAGUAUCCAACUUGAGCCCCCGGAUGCAUAAACCUACAAAACAAUUUUAGUUCUUGACUUUAGGUACCCAAACGGUUUUGGGUCCUUUGGCAUUAGAAACAAGAACUUUGGGUACCCAAACACAAGUCUUGGAACCCUUGUGUUUGCCCCCAACAAACUUGGCAACUACCUUGCCGGAUUUGUUAGUCAAAACAUAAGAUGCAUCAAAAGUCUUAAAUGAAAUGCCAUGAUCAUUUGAUGCACUAGGAGUUUUCUAUCUAGGCAACUUAGCACGGGUUGGUUGCCUAGAGCUAGAUGUCUCACCCUUAUAUAUAAAAGCAUGGUUAGGGCCAGAGUGAGACUUCCUAGAAUGAGUUCUCCUAAUUUUGCUCUCGGGAUAACCGGCAGGGUACAAAAUGUAACCCUCGUUAUCCUGAGGCAUGGGAGCCUUGCCCUUAACAAAGUUAGACAAGUUUUUAGGAGGGGCAUUAAGUUUGACAUUGUCUCCCCUUUGGAAGCCAAUGCCAUCCUUGAUGCCAGGGUGUCUCCCAUUAUAGAGCAUACUUCUAGCAAAUUUGAACUUUUCAUUUUCUAAGUUAUGCUCGGCAAUUUUAGCAUCUAAUAUUGCUAUAUGAUCAUUUUGUUGUUUAAUUAAAGCCAUGUGAUCAUGAAUAGCAUUGAUAUCAACAUCUCUACAUCUAGUACAAAUAGAAGUGUGCUCAAUGGUAGAUGUAGAGGGUUUGCAAGAUUUUAAUUCUACAACCUUAGCAUGCAACAUAUCAUUCUUAGUUCUAAGGUCGGAAAUUGUAACAUUGCAAACAUCUAAUUCUUUAGCCUUAGCAACUAAUUUCUCAUUCUCAUUUCUAAGGUUAGCAAUAGAGACAUUCAACUCAUCAAUCCUAGCAUGUAAAUCAACAUUAUCAUUUCUAGGAUUGGAAGUUGAAUCAAUACAAACAUGAGAAUCAACCUUAGCAAUUAAUUUAGCAUUUUCAUUUCUAAGGUUGUUAAUGGUCUCAUGGCAAGUGCUUAGCUCACUAGACAAUUUUUCACAUUUUUCAACUUCUAGAGCAUAAGCAUUUUUAACCUUAACAUGCUUUUUGUUUUCCUUGAUUAGGAAGUCCUCUUGGGAGUCCAAGAGAUCAUCCUUCUCAUGGAUGGCACUAAUUAGCUCAUUCAAUUUUUUCUUUUGUUCCAUGUUAAGGUUGGCAAAAAGGGUACACAAAUUAUUCUCCUCAUCACUAGCAUUAUCAUCAAUAGAAGACUCAUAUUUAGUGGAGGAUUUAGAUUUAACCUUCUUCCUUUUGCCGUCCUUUGCCAUGAGGCACUUGUGGCCGACGUUGGGGAAGAGGAGUCCCUUGGUGACGGCGAUGUUGGCGGCGUCCUCGUCGGAGGAGGACUCGGUGGAGCUCUCGUUGGAGUCCCACUCCCGGCAAACAUGGGCAUCGCCGCCCUUCUUCUUGUAGUACUUCUUUUCUCUCCUCUUUCCCUUCUUAUCGUCGCCCCUGUCACUGUCACUAGACAUAGGACAUUUUGCAAUAAAAUGACCGGGCUUACCACAUUUGUAGCACACUUUCUUGGAGCGGGGUUUGUAGUCCUUCCCCCUCCGUUGCUUGAGGAUUUAGCGAAAGCUUUUGAUGAUUAAAGCCAUCUCCUCAUUGUCGAGCUUGGAGGCGUCAAUUGGUUGUCUACUCGUCGUAGACUCCUCCUUCUUCUCCUCCGUCACCUUAAAUGCCACCGGUUGUGCUUCGGACGUGGAGGGUUCAUCAAGCUCGUUGAUCUUCUUUGAGCCUUUAAUCAUACAUUCAAAGCUCACAAAAUUCCCGACUACUUCCUCGGGAGUCAUUAGUGUAUAUCUUGGAUUACCACGAAUUAAUUGUACUUGAGUAGGGUUAAGGAAAAUAAGUGAUCUUAAAAUAACCUUAACCACCUCGUGGUCAUCCCAUUUCUUGCUCCCGAGGUUGCGCACUUGGUUCACCAAGGUUUUGAGCCGGUUGUACAUAUCUUGUGGCUCCUCCCCUUGGCGAAGACGGAAGCGACUGAGCUCCCCCUCGAUCGUUUCCCGCUUGGUGAUCUUGGUGAGUUCAUCACCCUCGUGCGCGGUCUUGAGAAGGUCCCAAAUUUCCUUUGCAUUCUUCAACCCUUGCACCUUGUUGUAUUCCUCCUUGCUUAGAGAGGCGAGGAGUAUGGUUGUAGCUUGGGAGUUGAAGUGCUCGAUUUGGGCCACUUCGUCCGUAUCAUAGUCUUCAUCCCCUAUAGAUGGUACCUGUGCUCCAAACUCAACAACAUUCCAUAUACUUUUGUGGAGUGAGGUUAGAUGAAAUUUCAUUAAAUCACUCCACCUAGCAUAAUCUUCGCCAUCAAAAGUUGGCGGUUUGCCUAAUGGAAUGGAAAGUAAUGGAGUAUGUCUAGAUGUACGAGGAUAGUGUAAGGGGAUCUUACUAAACUUCUUGCGCUCUUGGCGCUUAAAAGUUACGGACGGCGUAUCGGAGUCGGAGGUCGAUGUUGAUGAAGUGUCGGUCUCGUAGUAGACCACCUUCCUCAUCCUCUUGUGCUUGUCGCCUUUCCGAUGCGACUUGUGGGAAGAAGAUUUUUCCUUCUUCACUUUGUGGUGUGAGGAAGAAGAUCUUUUCUCCUUCCGUUUGGAGGAGUCCUUCUUCUUCUCCUUCCUUUUGGUGCGGGACUCUUCCGAUGAAGUGCUCCCUUGGCUCGUAAUGGGCUUGUCGCCGGUCUCCAUCUCCCUCUUGGUGUGAUCUCCCGACAUCACUUCGAGCGGUUAGGCUCUAAUGAAGCACCGGGCUCUGAUACCAAUUGAAAGUCGCCUAGAGGGGGGUGAAUAGGGCGAAACUGAAAUUCUCAAAAUAAUCACAACUACAAGCCGGGUUAGCGUUAGAAAUAUAAUAGAGUCCGCGAGAGAGGGUGCAAAACAAAUCGCAAGCGAAUAAUGAAGUGAGACACACGGAUUUGUUUUACCGAGGUUCGGUUCUCUCAAACCUACUCCCCGUUGAGGAGGCCACAAAGGCUGGGUCUCUUUCAACCCUUACCCUCUCUCAAACGGUCCCUCGGACCGAGUGAGCUUUCUCUUCUCAAUCACUUGGAACACAAAGUUCCCACAAGGACCACCACAAGAUUGGUGUCUCUUGCCUCAAUUACAAGUGAGUUUGAUCGCAAUGAAAGAAUCAAGAAAGAAGAAAGCAAUCCAAGCGCAAGAGCUCGAAAGAACACAAGCAAAUCUCUCUCUCUAAUCACUAGGGCGUUGUGUGGAAUUUGGAGAGGAUUUGAUCUCUUUGGUGUGUCUAGAAUUGAAUGCUAGAGCUCUUGUAAGUAGUUGGGAAGUGGAAAACUUGGAUGCAAUGAAUGGUGGGUGGUUGGGGGUAUUUAUAGCCCCAACCACCAAACUAGCCGUUUGGUGAGGCUGUCUGUUCGAUGGCGCACCGGACAGUCCGGUGCACACCGGACAUGUCCGGUGCGACAUCCACGUCACCAAAAGCCGUUGGGGUCGACCGUUGGAGCUCUGUCUUCUGGGCCCGCCUGGAUGUCCGGUGGCGCACCGGACAUGCACUGUAGAUUGUCCGGUGCGCCAGCAUGGGCGUGCCUGACAUCUGCGCGCGCAGCGCGCGCAUUUAAUGCGUCGCAGGUAGCCGUUGGCGCCGAAAUAGCCGUUACCCCGCUGUUACACCGGAUAGUCCGGUGUACAUCGGACAGUCCGGUGAAUUAUAGCGGAGCUGCUUCAAUGAAAUCCCGAGGCUGGCGAGUUCCGGAGGCCGCUCUUCCUUGGAGCACCGGACAUGUCCGGUGUACACCGGACAGUCCGGUGAAUUAUAGCGGAGUCGCCUCUGGAAUUUCCCGAAGGUGACGAGUUUGAAGUCGGAGUACUCUGGUGCACCGGAACACCGGACAGUCCGGUGCGCCAGACCAGAGGUGCCUUCGGUUGUCCCUUUGCUCUUUGGUUAAACCCAAUACUUUGUCUUUUUAUUGGCUAAGUGUGAACCUUUGGCCUCUGUAUAACUUAUACACUAGAGCAAACUAGUUAGUCCAAAUAUUUGUGUUGGGCAAUUCGACCACCAAAAUUAUUUAGGAACUAGGUGUAAGCCUAAUUCCCUUUCACAUACAAAGGAGCUAGGGCGCCAAUGGGGGCAAUUCGGGGAGCGGAUGAGCGACGCAGAUACUUACACCACGUAGACCUUGACCGCCAUUGGAGAAGGGCUGGAGCUACUCGGAUCUGAGAUCUGGGGGCUGAAGCAGGGGAAGGAGACGUCUGCCCGCUGGCUGCUGGGGUCGUCUUUGUUUGAUUAGUGUGUUCGAUGCGAAGAUGCCGGGGAAGUGGGGAGAGUAUUUAUAGGACCACCCUACCCCGCUCGCGUCCGGUUCGAUCCGCCUGCGAGGUGGUCCCGAGUGUGAUCCAGCGUGGCGGGCGCCACGUAAUCAGACCAGCAGUACGUCACGGUUGCAUCACCAGAACGCAGAAAUUCAGCUCAAGGGUCGAGAUAAAUAAAGAGAGCAGAAAUUCAGGAACAUGAAACAAGCUCCGUACCUUUGUAUGUAGGCGUAUAUAUAAUGUAUUAUGGUUUUUUGAGCACUAAAUAUACAUAAAAUACUUGUUCACAGGGGUGGAUUUGGGCCCCGGACCACCUGGGCCAUGGCCCGGGGCGUAGCCCAAAAGUCCUCCUAUAUAUAGAGUUUUUUCAGCAAAAAAAAAUUAGCCUAAAAUACAUUUCAGCCCAAAAAUAUAGUUCAAAAGACCUCCUGCUUGCCGCGAUUGAGUCUGGCGCUGACGACCUCCCUCGUCGCUCGUUUUAAAUGUUACUACCUUGUUCUUAAAUAUUUAUCGUCUUCUAUUUCAUUUCUAAACUAAAACACGAUAAAUAAAAAGACGAAGUAAUACAUCAAUUUUAUGGAGCUCCGCCCCUGCUUGUUCAUACAAUAAUCUAAUGUAUCUAAGAUUUAUAUCUUAUCUACUAUAAUCUCUCAACACACAUGUCAUUUAUAUUUAUUAUGAAUGGAAUUGUACUUAGAGAAAUGUGCUAGAGAUUUCCUUCACCGAAAUGUUUUUUUGUGUUUUUUACGCUUAACCCUUAGAUACUACUUAAGACACGAGUCAUUUAGGGUGUGUUUGGUUAGCGGGUUGAUGCGGGUUGAAACAGGUUUAACCAACAACAACUCGUGUUUGGUUCAAAAGGCUCGCGGAUUAGGUUGGUUCUUGAAAGGGAAAUAGGCUUACACCUUUUCCUAAAUAGAUUUUGGUGGUUGAAUUGCCCAACACAAAUAAUUGGACUAACUAGUUUGCUCUAGAUUAUAAGUUUUAUAGGUGCCAAAGGUUCACAAUAGACCAAUAAAAAGACCAAGAAAAGGUUCAAACAAAGAGAGCCAAAGGCAACGAAGUGUGCCCUGGUCUGGCGCACCGGACUGUCCGGUGUGCCACCGGACAGUGUCCGGUGCACCAGGGAACUCGAAGCUGAACUCGCUACCUUCGGGAAAAUAGGGGCUGCUCCGCUAUAAUUCACCGGACAGUGUCCGGUGGCACACCGGACAGUCCGGUGUGCCAGCGGAGCAACGACUACUUCAAGCGCAACGGUCGACUGCAACGCAUUUAAUGCGCGCCUGCGCGCGCAGAGGUCAGAGCAUGCGCAGUUGGCGCACCGGACAGCCUAGAGGCUCCACAAGUCAGAGCUCCAACGGUCGAACCCCAACGGCUGGCUGACGUGGCUGGCGCACCGGACAGUGUCCGGUGGCGCACCGGACUGUCCGGUGCGCCAUGCAACAGUAGACUCCCAACGGCCACAUUUUGGUGGUUGGGGCUAUAAAUACCCCAACCACCCCACAUUCAAUGGCAUCCAAGUUUUCAGACUUCUACACAUUACAAGAGCUAUAGCAUUCAAUACAAAACACACCAAAGAGAUCAAAUCCUCUCCCAAGUCUCUAGUUCAAUUCCAAUCAAUAGUGACUAGUGAGAGAGUGACUUGUGUUCAUUUGAGCUCUUGCGCUUGGAUUGCUUCUUUUCUUUCUCAUUUCUUCUUGAGACAAACUCAAUUGUAACCAAGGCAAGAGACAUCAAUUGUGUGGUGGUCCUUGCGGGGACUUAGUGUCCCGUGUGAUUGAGAAGAGAAGCUCACUCGGUCUAAGUGACCGUUUUGAGAGAGGGAAAGGGUUGAAAGAGACCCGGUCUUUGUGACCACCUCAACGGGGAGUAGGUUUGCAAGAACCGAACCUCGGUAAAACAAAUCCUUGUGUCUCACUCUUUAUUUGCUUGCGAUUUGUUUUUUACCCUCUCUCUCUCGGACUCGCUUAUAUUUCUAACGCUAACCCGGCUUGUAGUUGUUAUUAACUUUGUAAAUUUCAGUUUCGCCCUAUUCACCCCCCCCUCUAGGCGACUUUCAGUUCUGGGUCGAGAUACUUAUUGAAAAUGUGGGUUCUAGUGAUUCCUAAAAUACAAGCGAACCAUUUCGACUCACUUCCUCUUAGGGAUGGCAACGGAUCGAAUUCGGAUCGGAUAUUGCAAAUAUCCGUCCGCAACCAUAUCCGUGGUUGCUACCAAUAUCCACCCGCGACCGUACCCGCGGGUAGAAAUUUAUAUCCAUGCCCGUGCCCAUCGAAUUUCGGACGGGUUUCGGAUAUCCGUGGUUGCUACCAUUUCGACUCACUUCCUCAGUUCCUCUCCACCCUCUCAUCACCCAUGCUUUAUCCACUCGAGACCAGCACAGGAGUGCGCCGCCGCUGCCGGCCUGCUGGUACGAGGGACCCCCGUCGGCCUACCCUCCAACGUUAAUCCCCCGCCUGCCUCCUGUCGUCAGUUCCCCGCUGGCCUACCCUCGAACGCCGAUGUGUUCUCUAGUAAGCACAACCCGCGAGCCUUGCUAGUGCUGUCGUCGAACAGGUAAAGGUCAGUGUUCGUCAUCGCCUAGACAAGCCUGCUAGUGAUGAAAAAUGUUACAAAUUCACUGAAAUGCAUCUUGAUGUUGUUGGGAUGUUCCUUUAAUCAUGACUAAAAUGUAACAGUGAAACCUCAUCACUAAAAAUUUAUGACUUAGUCAAUAAAGACUUUAAUUUAUCUAUAUCUUAUGCUUAUGGAUUUCACAAAUAUUAAAAUAAUGCCAGUUUCAUUUAUUUUGAAUGAUGUCAUCUUAUUUAAUUGAAGAUAUCAUCCUGAGUGUGGUAAUAUGACCAGGAAGAUGACCAUAUUUAGUUCAUUCUUCAUCACGAAACAAACAAGAGAUGGUGCAUGUCUAACUCACUUUAACCAUGUAAUCAAACAAGAAAUUAGGUUUAACCUGUCACUGAAAUCAAACAAUGAACGGGUCCGAUCCAACCCAGAAAAAUAGAUCGACUCCGACACGACCAACAUCGUUUUGAAACCAAACACAUGCUUAUGUGGGUUGUAGGGUUGUAAACACAUUCAGGCUUCACCAGCAGUUAGGCCAUGUUUGUUUCCCCAUAAUAAAUUUUAGUCCCGAUCACAUCAACAGUUUAGAUGCUAGUUAGAAAUAUUAAAGAUAGUCUAAUUAUAUAAAAAAAUUACACGAUGAGAACUAAAUGAUAAAACAAUUUUAAUAAACCUAAUUAAUCUAUGAUUUGCUCAUGUCAGGCCACAAUAAAUAUUUGUUAAUCAUAGAUUAAUUAGAUUUACUACAUUGGUCUCGCUGUUUAGUCUUCACUGUGUAAUCAGUUUUAUAAUUAUACUUUAUUUAAUAUUUAUAAUAAUCAGCAAACAAUCGAUAUAACACGUGUUAAACUUUGGUCUCUAGAACCCAACACCUCCUUAAUAUUGCAAGUACAUUAGCUAAGCUUCAACAAGAUACCAACAGCAUCCAAUAUGGCAGGGUAAUUCUAGAGCUUGCUUUGAUCUGUAUUCAGUUUUCCGGAGGCUCACAGUCACCAUGAAGGUGAUGGGCAAGGGCUCUAGAAGCUGCGCGUUAUGGCAGAUAAGGAUCCAGGGACUUCAGUUCAGUUCUUCACCAUGGUUUAACUUCGAUCCAUGCAAAUGACUGCAGGGUGCGGGACCUGAAAUUCUCAACCAUGCAAGCAUAUCUUUGUUAUUGUCAUUAUAGCAUUUAUGAUAUUGAAAGAAUCAUGCCGUUAUAAUUUAUCAUGUCAUUAAAAUAUGUUCCAAACCUUUAAAACUAAUUGUUAACCAACUAGUAAGUUAUUAGCUAGAUUAGCUGGCUAAUUAUUGAUUGGGGUGUUUUAAACUUACAGUUAAUAGUUUGUUCUGAUGAGCUAAUUGUACUUACUAUCUGUGAGGAGGCGAGAGACGGUGGGCUGCGCCGCCCAGCUUCAAUGGAAAAGCAGGCACAUCGAGGAUGGAACACAAUAACAACACAGGAAACAAUCGUAAAUCAAGGGUUAAUUUGGUGACAAGGGAAUCACGGAGGAUUCAAAGAAAUUAAGAUGAAAACAAACUAAUAUCUCUCCUUAAUCCUACUCAAUCUACUCGUAAUCUCUUAUCACUAAAUCAGCCCUAAAGGAAUGUGAUAGAAAGGGAAGUCAAAGAGAGAAGUAGAAAAAAUAAUAAAACAACAAGGCAUGCGAGAUGAAUAGAGACAAAAGAGAAAAACAAGAAUAAAAUAAAGAGGCAUGAGAGGAUGAGUAGUGAAAAGGAGAAAUAAAAAUUUUAAAUAAAGAGACAUACGAGAGGAAAAAUAAUAAAACAAAGAGGCAUGAGAGAUGUGUAGAUAAAAAAAUAGAACAAAGAGGCAUGAGAGAGGAUGAGUAGAGAAAGAAAAAAAACUAAGAUGCACGAGAGAGGAUGAAUAGAAUAAAGAAGAGAAAUUAAAAUAAAGAGACAUGUGAGAGGGGAAAUAAUAAAACACAGAGGCAUGAUAGAUGUGUAGAGAAAAAUAAAAUAAAGAGGUAUGAGAGAGGAUGAGUAGAGAAAAAAAUGGAUAAACAAAGAGACGUCAGAAAAGAUCGAGAAAGCUUUAAAGGGAAAAAAACAAAAAAAGAAAGCUUUAAAGUGAAAAAAAUAAAAAAGAAUCGCCCACCGUGGGGCAUGAUAGAUGUGUAGAGAAAAAUAAAAUAAAGAGGUAUGAGAGAGGAUGAGUAGAGAAAAAAAUGAAUAAACAAAGAGACGUCAGAAAACCUCGAGAAAGCUUUAAAGGGAAAAAUAAAAAAAGAAUCGCCCACCGUGGGGCUCGAACCCACGACCACAAGGUUAAGAGCCUUGCGCUCUACCGACUGAGCUAGACGGGCUUAUAUGUUUAUAGUCUCCAGUUAUUCUACAUGUUGUUAAGAACAUAGACAUAUUUGUUCUCCUUUAUUCUCAAGUGCUGCCGCUGUGUGUGAACUGUGAACGACUCAAGAAAGUGCUAGGUAUAGCAAUAUGUAUCCAAACCUAAUUACGUGAUAAAUAAAUAGACAGCAUGGAAACAUUUCUAGAGCCGCACAAGUAUGUCUGGACAUAAUAAUCCUCUACCGGUUACUAUCAAAUAGAGCAGGUGGCAAUCAAGGUUGCUAGGAUUAGGAUACUAGUUACUAUUGUUUUUUAGCUAUUAGUAUUGGAUUUCAUAAUUUAUGUAUUCUAUGUAAGAUUUGUAACAUGUUUACAGAUUGAAACAUAUAAUAUUGAUUUUGAUUAAUUUGUUUGAUCGUUAAUGCAUUGAAGUGCAGUUUUUGGUAUUAUUUCAACAACGUUUAACUUCUAAAUGAUACUUGGUUGUGUGGAGGCUAAGAGGUACGCUUUUGGUAGAUGGGGACCUCUAUUGGCAUGCCACUAGUAAAAACCUUUUAAGGUGCGUUUUUCAUAAGGAGACAGUGACAUACUCAUUGACAUCCAUACAGACGAGACGAGUGGAGUCGACAUUCACCGUCUCGCACGAUGACUAGUAAAGCCAUUCAGUAGAGAUUUUACUUGUCAACAAACAUAGGGAAUGCAAUUGAACUAGUAAGGGUGUGUUUAGUUGUAAUGACGCAAUGUGACGUAAUGGAAUGACCUCUUAGAUAAAGUUGUUUGGUUUAAGGUCACGAAUUACAAUAAAAUCAUAACAAUACUGUCCCUAGAUGUCCGUCAAAUUAGACGGACGAGAGGGGACACCGAGGGACAACUAUAAGAAUAUACAUAACAUGUCAAUUCUAUGCAAAAAAAAUCAACACACCUGUCUAAACACUAUAAUUGGUCCAUUUAUCCUAGCCCUUUGUAGUUCACCACAAAGAUAUCUAUAGCACCCGAAAAUUCAAAUCUAUAAAAAUUUCUCAAACUUUGUUCCAAAUUCAAAAUUAAUUCUUAAAUUGUAUUAUGAUGCAACUCUAAACUCUAGAUCAUAAAUAUAGUUAAAAUACAAUAGAUAUAGAAUUGUUUAUUGAUUUUUUUUUCAUUUAGCUUUUAGAGACCACUAUAACGCCUAGUUAACAGGGUUGUACCUAUCCAUUAGACUAUCUUCAGAAGCUUACCUAUGCCCAUACAUAUAUAAAAUUACACUAUAUAAACAGUGCAAUCUACAAUAUAAAACGAUACAAUAUAGUGUUUUUAGUGAUCAUAUAGGCAGUGGCAGAGCUCCGUAAAAAUAACGCCCCAGGUGUGGGGGACAGGUAUCCCCCGGGUCCACUAGAAGGAUAAAAGAUCUCACGAAAGGCCCAAAUGCCUCAUAAUUCGUAAGGUCAUCCCCUCAUGGGCCUGGGAGGAACGGACGGUGAGACAGAUCAGCACAAGGCUGGGUCGGUGCAAGCCUAGACGGCCCAACAACAUCUGAGCAAUAAUUGCAAGCAGUAACCCGACCUUCCCGCACAGGAGCCCCGUAUGUCGGAACUGGGCGAGGAUGAGUCGGCUGAACUAUAGGAAGAUAGACUCAGUUAGUUCUCUACAAUUCCGGCUCACGUUGUUAUCAUAUCCACAUGUAAUGCCCCACGGUCGAGUAUAUAAGGCCUAGGGGGCACCCCUUCAAGACGAUCGAUCGAGAGAGACAUCACUCGCCACUUAGCCAUCCACCCCGCUCUCUACGUUUUCCGACACUAGAGAGCUCCCUUGUAACCCACCGCAUAAAGCAUUCCAGCCAGGACGUAGGGUGUUACGCAUCUCAAAGCGGCCCGAACCUGUACACAAUUGUCCACUAUCUCUCGUGCAUUUAGCACGAACCAUCGAGCUACAGUCGAUCACAUCAUCCUACUCCAAAAAGCACCUUGAGGGGCAACCCCGGGUACGCGGUCGGACCCGAAACACCGACAGCUGGCGCGCCUGGUAGGGGGUGUGUCAUCGAUCCAAGCUAGCUCAAUGGUCGUCACCUUCCAGCACAAGAUCAUCCUCCGCCCCGGAUCCAUAUUCUGCUUCAGUACUAUCUCAUCUGUAGCGGAUGAGAAGGGAACUUUGCAUCGCCUCGCGGAUCCGCCGAAAAGAAAGCCUUCCUCAGAAGUCUCCAUGAAAAUCGGGGUGAGGCAGGAAGAAGUGCAACCUCUGGCGCUCCUAAAAAAGAUCACCUCCGGCAAGAUAGGGGCUGAGGGUCCCUCGGUCCGGAGAACUCCGCUGUCCACCUCUUCGACGAAAGAAUGGACACGAAUCACAAGGAAAAAGAAAGCAGAGGACCAUCAAGCUGAUCUUUCUGCACCUCUGCCCUCAAAGGAGAAUAGAAAGAAGAUCGUCGUGACAGCUACUCCAUUCUACCCUGACGUCCUCUUCAUCGGGAGAGCGGAGUCGCCCCCCGUCUCCGACGACGAGCCGACCGCACCCGAAGAGGAACCUCCUCAGCGGGAAUCCCACCGACGAAGGAACCGACGCCGAAAUAUCCGGCGACAUCACGAGGCCGGAGAGCGGGACCCGGCGUAGCCUGUAUCGCGAGACGAGGUCUCAGAGGUAGGAGAAACUCCGGAGGAACGUGUCUUCAGGGAAUGAAGGAAUUCCCGACGGCGUGAUCAUUGACGGGCUCAAGAACAAGCCGAGCAGGAGGCAAGGCAACGUCGGGAAAAUCCACUCUUCGGGCGCAACCUGAACCCCAACUUCGCCCGAGCCAUGAAUACGCCGAGUGAAGUCGGAGGGGUGCUGGCUCGGAUAGCUGAUGGCCUCCCUCGGACUCCCGACGCCGAGGGCUAUCGGCGACUGUUCACUCAGGCAGCCAAUCACCUUCUACUUCUCGCUCACCCGCCGAACGAUCUACGACACGCCAUCAACAGUCGCCGGGACACGCGAAGCUCCAUCAAUGCUUCGCGUGAACGACGACACGAGAACGAAAUCCGUCGACGAGAAGAGUACGACCGGGACCAUGGCAUCCCAGCACGGAGUCAAGCUACCAGGACCGAGUCGGCCAUGGCUUCAACUGGAGGCACCACCCGGGGACGGUCGAGGCACCACGACGAUCACUCCCCUCCCUGGGACAGACAACAUCAUCGACGCCAGGAGGACACGUGUGGAGUAUCGGUGCUUACUCCACGCCUCAGGGCCAUUCAAUGGCCCCCUAACUUCAAGGUAUCCAACGUCGACAAAUAUGAACCUAAGCAGGAUCCAGGAGGCUGGUUGGCCGUCUACACCACCGCUGCUCGAGUUGCUGGGGCGACCGAGGACGUAAUGACCGCGUACUUACCUAUUGUCCUCGGGCAAGACGCGCUGCAAUGGCUGCGACACCUACCCCAACAUUGCAUCGACGACUAGAGCGACUUCAGUCGACGCUUCACCGCCAACUUUCAGUCCCUCUCCGACAAACCGGCGCAACCAUGGGACCUCAAAUCCAUCAAGCACCGAGGGGACGAAACUCUCCGGUCGUACCUCAAAAGGUUCCAGACCAUGAGAAAUCGUAUCCCCGAGGUCGCGGAGGUGGUAGUGAUCGAGGAUUUGUACAGAGGAUCCAAUGACUUGGCCUUCGUCCGAACCAUAUUACAGAAGGCACCGACUACCUCUGAGCAACUGUUCCGGGAAGCCGACCUCUACAUCACCGCCGACGAGCGAGCUCAGGACCUCAUCGGAGGAGUAAAACCAUCACCAGUGGCACCGCGACGCGACACAAAUCAGCAGCCCGACAAGCGUUGGGAGAAGAGACCUCGCGAAGAAGUCCACGUCGCCGGACCACCUGCCUCUCGCGCCCGGGGAGGACCUCGUGGAGGCGAACGCACGCUGGACGACAUCCUCGACGCCCAGUGCUCGUACCACAAGGACAUGCGCCACACCCUUCGGAACUGUAGAGACUUCAAGCACUCCGUCGGGCACGGCCGACCUUUCCAACCUCUACCUCCUCCUCCGCCGCAGGGAGGACCAGGAGAACCGCAACAACCCCAGCAACAGGAGGAGGGAGGAGGUGGAGCCUUCCCGCGUGUCGACAGAGAGGUCAACGUCAUCUUCAGCGGACACGGAUCGCAGGAGAACAAGAAACAACAAAAUCUCAACGAUCGCCAAAUACUGGUGGCGACCACCGGUCCUCCCGCCCCAUACCGAUGGUCGGAGCACCCGAUCACCUUCACUCGGGCAGAUCAGUGGCUCAACUUCGACCACCUAGGCAAAUACCCGCUCCUCGUCGAUCCGGUGAUCCGAGAGAGCAGGGUGAAGAAGGUAUUAGUGGACGGGGGGAGCAGCAUCAACGUCACCUUCCCCCGGACGCUCCAAGGCUUGGGAGUUCACCUCAAAGAGCUCCACGAGUCAGAUACUCCUUUCUUCGGCAUCGUGCCGACUGAAGGAGAAUACCUGCUGGGCCACAUCUACAUGCUGGUCACCUUCGGAACUCCGGAGAACUACAGAACCGAGUUCCUAAGGUUCGAAGUGGCGAACUUCGACUGCGGGUACAACACCAUCAUCGGGAGGCCUGGAUUGGCGAAAUUCAUGGCCAUUCCGCAUCACACAUACAUGAUAUUGAAGAUGCCAGGGCCGCAAGGGAUCAUAACUGUGUGCACUGACUUCCAAGGCACCGCAGAAUGUUUCCGAGUGGCCAUCCAGGCGGCCCUGAGAGCACCUAGAGGGGGGGGGUGAAUAGGUGAUCCUGUAGAACUUAAACUUAUAGCCACAAAAACUUGUUAAGUGUUAGCACAAUAAUCGCCAAGUGGCUAGAGAGAAGGUUUUGCACAAUACGAUAAUCACAAAGAAUUCAACACAGAGAAGACACAGUGAUUUAUCCCGUGGUUCGGCCAAGUACAAAACUUGCCUACUCCACGUUGUGGCGUCCCAACGGACGAGAGUUGCACUCAACUCCUCUCAAGUGAUCCAAUGAUCAACUUGAAUACCACAGUGUUAUGCUUUUCGUUUCUUAUCCCGUUCGCGAGGAAUCUCCACAACUUGGAGCCUCUCGCCCUUACACUUUUGAUGUUCACAAAGAAUCACAGAGUAAGGAAGGGAAGCAACACACACAAAUCCACAGCAAAAUGCGCACACACACGACCAAGAAUUGAGCUCAAAGACUAUCUCAAAGUUCUCCCUAGAACGGAGCUCGAAUCACUUAGAAUGACAAACGAAUGCGCAAAGACUGAGUGUGGAUGAUCAAGAAUGCUCUAAGGUUGCUUGUGUGUCUCCUCCAUGCGCCAAGGGGUCCCUUUUAUAGCCCCAAGCCAGCUAGGAGCCGUUGAGAGCAAAUCUGGAAGGCCAUCCUUGCCUUCUGUCGUCGGGUGCACCGGACAGUCCGGUGCACACCGGACAGUGUCCGGUGCCCGAUUUCCUUCCUUAAUUGGCGAAGCCGACCGUUGGCAGACUUGGAGCCGUUGGCGCACCGGACAUGUCCGGUGCACACCGGACAGUCCGGUGCCCCCUUCUAGCCGUUGGCUCGGCCACGUGUCCCGCGCAGAUCGCGCGGCCGACCGUUGGCCCGGCCGACCGUUGGCUCACCGGACAGUCCGGUGCACACCGGACAGUCCGGUGAAUUUUAGCCGUACGCCGUCGGCAAAUUCCCGAGAGCGGCCUCUUCGCCCGAGGCAGCCUGGCGCACCGGACACUGUCCGGUGCACCACCGGACAGUCCGGUGCCCCAGACCGAAACAGCCUCUUGGCUGUAUACAGCCAACUCUUCUCUUUUCUUCUUCUUUCUGUUUCUGAUACUUAGACAAGUAUAUUAGUACACAAAACCAAUGUACUAUGACUUAGAAACAUACCUUUGCUCUUGAUUUGCACUUUGUUCAUCCAUGGGCAUAGAUUCACAUUUAAGCAUUUAUGUUGGCACUCAAUCACCAAAAUACUUUAGAAAUGGCCGAAGGGCACAUUUCCCUUUCAAUCUCCCCCUUUUUGGUGAUUUAUGCCAACACAACAUAAAGCAACUAGAACAAGUGCAAAAUCACUUCAAAUAAAAUAAAUUUGAGUUUUAUUCAAUUUUGGCAUAUAUGGAUCAUCCUUUGCCACCACUUGGUUUGUUUUUGCAAAUCAAACUCAAAUCUCUAUCUCUAAGUCAAACACACAUGUUGAAGCAUAAAGAGAGUCAUUCCAAAAGAGAUUGAUCAAAGAUUUCAAAAACUCCCCCUUUUUCCCAUAAUCACUACUUCUCCCCACAAGAAGCCAACUUUUGACAAAAGAGACAACAAAAGAGUUUUGACAAAAAGAGUUUUGACAAAAACAAAAGCUCUACUCUACUAUUUUCAAAACUCUCAAGUGGUAGCUGAUCCAUUUAUUGCUUUGGCCUUUAUUUUCUCCCCCUUUGGCAUCAAACACCAAAACGGGAUCAAUCUUGGCCCUUUAACCCCAUUGCCUCACAAAAGUCUUCAAUAAGAAUACAAAGGCAAUAAGAGUACAUGAGAUGAACUUGGAAUAGGUUACCCUCUAACCGGAGUGCAGUGGAAGUCUUUCAUGGUCCAAGUCCACCUGUUCCCUUUCAAUCCUUCUUUGAGGCUAAAACAACCAAACUCAAGCAUAUGGUUAGUCUCAAAGGGUCAAGUUGUAACAUCUCUCCCCCUAAACAUGUGCAUCACUUUGCAACGAACUUGUGAGGUCCAGGGAGUGUUUGUACAACUUGAGCACCACAAUAAGCAACAAAAUGCAGAAUGAACAUGAUCAAAGGCAUAAACACAUGUAUGCUACAAUUCAAUCCAAGUUCCACGAAUCUAAGACAUUUAGCUCACUACGCAACCUGCAAAAGGUCUUCUCAUCUAGAGGCUUGGUAAAGAUAUCGGCUAGCUGGUUCUCGGUGCUAACAUGAAACACUUCGAUAUCUCCCUUUUGCUGGUGGUCUCUCAAAAAGUGAUGCCGGAUGUCAAUGUGCUUUGUGCGGCUGUGCUCAACAGGAUUUUCCGCCAUGCGGAUAGCACUCUCAUUAUCACAUAGGAGUGGGACUUUGCUCAGAUUGUAGCCAAAGUCCCUGAGGGUUUGCCUCAUCCAAAGUAGUUGCGCGCAACACUGUCCUGCGGCAACAUACUCGGCCUCAGCGGUGGAUAGGGCAACGGAAGUUUGUUUCUUAGAGUUCCAUGACACCAGGGACCUUCCUAAGAAUUGGCACGUCCCCGAUGUACUCUUCCUAUCGACCUUACAUCCAGCAUAAUCGGAAUCUGAGUAUCCAACCAAGUCAAAGGUAGACCCCUUUGGAUACCAGAGCCCGAAGCAAGGCGUAGCAACCAAAUAUCUAAGAAUUCGCUUCACCGCCACUAAGUGACACUCCUUAGGAUUGGAUUGAAAUCUAGCACACAUGCAUACGCUAAGCAUAAUAUCCGGUCUACUAGCACAUAAAUAAAGUAAAGACCCUAUCAUUGACCGGUAUGCUUUUUGAUCAACGGACUUACCUCCUUUGUUGAGGUCGGUGUGUCCGUCGGUCCCCAUCGGAGUCUUUGCGGGCUUGGCGUCCUUCAUCCCAAACCGCUUUAGCAGAUCUUGCGUGUACUUCAUUUGGGAGAUGAAGGUGCCGUCCUUGAGUUGCUUCACUUGGAACCCAAGGAAGUAGUUCAACUCGCCCAUCAUCGACAUCUCGAAUUUCUGUGUCAUCACCUUGCUAAACUCUUCACAAGACUUUUGGUUAGUAGAACCAAAUAUUAUGUCAUCGACAUAAAUUUGGCACACAAACAAAUCACCAUCACAUGUCUUAGUAAAAAGAGUUGGAUCGGCUUUCCCAACCUUGAAAGCAUUAACAAUUAGAAAGUCUCUAAGGCAUUCAUACCAUGCUCUUGGGGCUUGCUUAAGUCCAUAGAGCGCCUUAGAGAGCUUACACACGUGGUCGGGGUACCGUUCAUCCUCGAAGCCAGGGGGUUGCUCCACGUACACCUCCUCCUUGAUUGGCCCGUUGAGGAAGGCGCUCUUCACAUCCAUUUGGUACAACCUGAAAGAAUGGUGAGCGGCAUAUGCUAGCAAGAUACGAAUUGAUUCUAGCCUAGCCACAGGAGCAAAUGUCUCCUCAAAGUCCAAACCUGCGACUUGGGCAUAACCUUUUGCCACAAGUCGAGCCUUGUUCCUCGUCACCACCCCGUGCUCGUCAUGUUUGUUGCGAAACACCCACUUGGUUCCCACAACAUUUUGCUUAGGACGAGGCACUAGUGUCCAAACUUCAUUGCGCUUGAAGUUGUUGAGCUCCUCUUGCAUGGCCAAUACCCAAUCCGGAUCUAGCAAGGCCUCCUCUACCCUGAAAGGCUCAAUAGAAGAGACAAAGGAGUAAUGCUCACAAAAAUUAACUAAUCGAGAUCGAGUAGUUACUCCCUUGCUAAUGUCACCCAGAAUUUGGUCGACGGGAUGAUCCCUUUGAAUCAUCGCUCGAACUUGGGUCGGAGGUGCCGGUUGCGCUUCUUCCUCCAUCACGUGAUCAUCUUGUGCUCCCCCUUGAUCACACGCCUCCUGUUGAUGAACCUGUUCAUCGUCUUGAGUUGGGGGAUGCACCAUAGUUGAGGAAGAAGGUUGAUCUCGUUCAUCUUGUUCCUGUGGCCGAACAUCUCCAAUCGCCAUGGUUCGUAUAGCGGCCGUCGGAACAUCUUCUUCAUCUACAUCAUCACAAUCAACAACUUGCUCUCUUGGAGAGCCAUUAGUCUCAUCAAAUACAAUGUCGCUAGAGACUUCAACCAAACCCGAUGAUUUGUUGAAGACUCUAUACGCCUUUGUAUUUGAGUCAUAACCUAACAAAAACCCUUCUACAGCUUUGGGAGCAAACUUAGAAUUUCUACCCUUCUUUACUAGAAUGUAGCACUUGCUCCCAAAUACACGAAAGUAAGAUACAUUGGGUUUGUUACCGGUUAGUAGCUCAUAUGAGGUCUUCUUGAGGAGGCGAUGAAGGUAGACCCUGUUGAUGGCGUGGCAAGCCGUGUUCACGGCUUCCGUCCAAAAACACUCGGGGGUCUUGAACUCUCCUAGCAUCGUCCUCGCCAUAUCGAUGAGCGUCCUGUUCUUCCUUUCUACCACACCAUUUUGUUGUGGUGUGUAGGGAGCGGAGAACUCGUGCUUGAUUCCUUCUUCCUCAAGGAACUCCUCCACUUGAAGGUUCUUGAAUUCGGACCCGUUGUCGCUCCUUAUCUUCUUCACCUUGAGCUCAAACUCAUUUUGAGCUCUCCUUAGGAAGCGCUUGAGGGUUCCUUGAGUUUCAGACUUAUCCUGCAAAAAGAACACCCAAGUGAAGCGGGAAAAGUCAUCAACAAUAACUAGACCAUACUUACUUCCCCCUAUACUCAGAUAGGCGACUGGUCCGAAGAGGUCCAUAUGCAGCAGCUCCAGAGGUCUUGAGGUGGUCAUCACAUUUUUGCUGUGAUGUGCUCCUCCCACUUGUUUACCUGCUUGACAAGCUGCACAAGGUCUAUCUUUUUCGAAUUGUACAUUAGUCAAACCUAUCAUGUGUUCUCCCUUUAGAAGCUUGUGAAGGUUCUUCAUCCCCACAUGUGCUAAGCGGCGAUGCCACAGCCAGCCCAUGCUAGUCUUAGCUAUUAAGCAUGCAUCUAGACCGGCCUCUUCUUUUGCAAAAUCAACUAAAUAAAGUUUGUCGUCUAAUACACCCUUAAAAGCUAGUGAACCAUCACUUCUUCUAAAGACAGACACAUCUACAUUUGUGAAUAGACAGUUAUAUCCCAUAUUGCAUAAUUGACUAACCGAUAGCAAAUUAUAUCCAAGAGACUCUACUAAAAACACAUUAGAGAUAGAGUGCUCAUUAGAAAUUGCAAUUUUACCUAACCCUUUUACCUUGCCUUGAUUCCCAUCACCGAAUAUAAUUGAAUCUUGGGAAUCCUUAUUCUUGACGUAGGAGGUGAACAUCUUCUUCUCCCCCGUCAUAUGGUUUGUGCAUCCGCUGUCGAUAAUCCAGCUUGAACCCCCGGAUGCAUAAACCUGCAAGGCAAAUUUAGGCUUGGGUCUUAGGUACCCAACUCAUGUUGGGUCCUACAAGGUUAGUGCAAAUAUCCUUAGGGACCCAAAUGCAAGUUUUGUCUCCCUUGCAUUUUGCCCCUAACUUCCUAGCAACUAUUUUCCUAUCCUUUCUACAAAUAGCAAAGGAAGCAUUUAAAGCACAAUAAAUUGUAGAAGGUUCAUUCACUACUUUCCUAGGAGCAUGAAUAAUAUUCUUUCUAGGCACAUGAGUAGCAUUUCUCCUAGACAUAUUUCUACCAUGCAUAUAGGAAGAACUAGACGCAAACAUUGCAUGAGAGUCAAAAUCAUCAUAAGCAUUAUAAUUCCUAUAAGCAUUUCUCGUUUGUCUCCUAUCAUGAUACAUAAAAGCAUGGUUCUUUUGCACACUACUAGCCAUAGGGGCCUUCCCUUUCUCUUUGGCGGGAAUGGGAGCCUUAUGGCUUGUUAAGUUCUUGGCUUCUCUCUUGAAGCCAAGUCCAUCCUUAAUUGAGGGGUGUCUACCAACCGUGUAGGCAUCCCUAGCAAAUUUUAGUUUUUCAAAAUCACUUUUGCUAGUCUUAAGUUGGGUAUUAAGACUAGCCAAUUCAUCAUUAAGUUUUGAAAUUGAAACUAGGUGUUCACUACAAGCAUCAAUGUCAAAAUCUUUACACCUAGUGCAAAUCACAACAUGCUCUACACAAGAUGUUGAUUUACUAGAUCUUUCUAGUUUAGCAUUUAAAUCAUCAUUUGUGCUCUUUAAACUAGAAAUUGAAUCAUGACAUGUAGACACCUCACAAGAAAGCAUUUCAUUUCUCUUAAUCUCUAAUGCAAGUGAUUUUUGCGCUUCUACAAAUUUGUCAUGUUCUUCAUACAACAAAUCCUCUUGCUUUUCUAGAAGCCUAUUCUUAUCAUUCAAGGCAUCGAUUAAUUCAUUAAUUUUAUCUAUCUUAGAUCUAUCUAAGCCCUUGAAUAAGCAUGAAUAGUCUAUGUCAUCAUCAUCACUAGACUCAUUAUCACUAGAAGAAGCAUAAGUGGAGUCUCGAGUACUCACCUUCUUCUCCCUUGCCAUAAGGCAUGUGUGACACUCGUUGGGGAAGAGGGAUGACUUGUUGAAGGCGGUGGCGGCGAGUCCUUCAUUGUCGGAGUCGGAGGAGGAGCAGUCCGAGUCCCACUCCUUGCCUAGAUGCGCCCCGCCCUUUGCCUUCUUGUAAUUUUUCUUCUUUUCCCUCUUGCUCCCGUGUUCCUGAUCACUUUCAUUUUCGGGACAGUUAGCAAUAAAAUGACCAAUCUUACCGCAUUUGAAGCAUGAGCGCUUCCCUUUUGUCUUGGUCUUGCUUGGCUGCCCCUUGUGACCCUUAAGCACCGACUUGAAGCGUUUGAUGAUGAGAGCCAUCUCUUCAUCAUUAAGUCCGGCCGCCUCAAUUUGUGCCACCUUGCUAGAUAGCGUCUCCUUGCUUCUUGUUGCUUUGAGAGCAAGAGGUUGAGGCUCAUUGAUUGGACCGUUUAGAGCGUCGUCGACGUAUCUCGCCUCCUUGAUCAUCAUCCGCCCGCUUACGAAUUUUCCGAGUACCUCCUCGGGCGUCAUCAUCGUGUACCUGGGAUUCUCACGAAUAUUGUUUACGAGAUGAGGAUCAAGAACGGUAAAGGACCUUAGCAUUAGGCGGACGACGUCGUGGUCCGUCCAUCGCGUGCUUCCAUAGCUCCUUAUUUUGUUGAUAAGGGUCUUGAGCCGGUUGUAAGUUUGAGUUGGCUCCUCUCCCCUUAUUAUUGCGAAUCGUCCAAGCUCGCCCUCCACCAACUCCAUUUUAGUGAGCAUGGUGAUGUCAUUCCCCUCGUGAGAGAUCUUGAGGGUGUCCCAUAUCUGCUUGGCUUGUCCAAGCCGCUCACCUUAUUGUACUCUUCUCUGCACAAAGAUGCUAAUAGAACAGUAGUAGCUUGUGCAUUUCUAUGGAUUUGUUCAUUUAUAAGCAUAGGGCUAUCCGAGCUAUCAAAUUUCAUUCCAUUCUCUACAAUCUCCCAUAUGCUUGGAUGGAGAGAGAAUAGGUGACUACGCAUUUUGUGACUCCAAAAUCCGUAGUCCUCCCCAUCGAAGUGUGGAGGUUUGCCAAGAGGAAUGGAAAGCAAAUGCGAAUUCGAACUAUGUGGAAUACGAGAAUAAUCAAAUGAAAAGUUUGAAUUGACCGUCUUCCUGUAGUCGUUGUCGUCGUCCUUUUGGGAGGAGGAAGAUUCAUCGCUGUCGUAGUAGACAAUUUCCUUGAUGCGCCUUGUCUUCUUCUUCCUCCCGUCUUUUCUUUUGUGGCCCGAGCCUGAGUCGGUGGGCUUGUCAUUAUUGAGCUCGUUGAUGAAGGUCUCCUUCUCCUUGUCGUUGAUCACCAUCCCCUUGCCCUUAGGAUCCAUCUCUUCGGGCGGUUAGUCCCUUUCUUGAAGAGAACGACUCUGAUACCAAUUGAGAGCACCUAGAGGGGGGGUGAAUAGGUGAUCCUGUAGAACUUAAACUUAUAGCCACAAAAACUUGUUAAGUGUUAGCACAAUAAUCGCCAAGUGGCUAGAGAGAAGGUUUUGCACAAUACGAUAAUCACAAAGAAUUCAACACAGAGAAGACACAGUGAUUUAUCCUGUGGUUCGGCCAAGUACAAAACUCGCCUACUCCACGUUGUGGCGUCCCAACGGACGAGAGUUGCACUCAACUCCUCUCAAGUGAUCCAAUGAUCAACUUGAAUACCACAGUGUUAUGCUUUUCGUUUCUUAUCCCGUAAGCGAGGAAUCUCCACAACUUGGAGCCUCUCGCCCUUACACUUUUGAUGUUCACAAAGAAUCACAGAGUAAGGAAGGGAAGCAACACACACAAAUCCACAGCAAAAUGCGCACACACACGACCAAGAAUUGAGCUCAAAGACUAUCUCAAAGUUCUCCCUAGAACGGAGCUCGAAUCACUUAGAAUGACAAACGAAUGCGCAAAGACUGAGUGUGGAUGAUCAAGAAUGCUCUAAGGUUGCUUGUGUGUCUCCUCCAUGCGCCAAGGGGUCCCUUUUAUAGCCCCAAGCCAGCUAGGAGCCGUUGAGAGCAAAUCUGGAAGGCCAUCCUUGCCUUCUGUCGUCGGGUGCACCGGACAGUCCGGUGCACACCGGACAGUGUCCGGUGCCCGAUUUCCUUCCUUAAUUGGCGAAGCCGACCGUUGGCAGACUUGGAGCCGUUGGCGCACCGGACAUGUCCGGUGCACACCGGACAGUCCGGUGCCCCCUUCUAGCCGUUGGCUCGGCCACGUGUCCCGCGCAGAUCGCGCGGCCGACCGUUGGCCCGGCCGACCGUUGGCCCGGCCGACCGUUGGCUCACCGGACAGUCCGGUGCACACCGGACAGUCCGGUGAAUUUUAGCCGUACGCCGUCGGCAAAUUCCCGAGAGCGGCCUCUUCGCCCGAGGCAGCCUGGCGCACCGGACACUGUCCGGUGCACCACCGGACAGUCCGGUGCCCCAGACCGAAACAGCCUCUUGGCUGUAUACAGCCAACUCUUCUCUUUUCUUCUUCUUUCUGUUUCUGAUACUUAGACAAGUAUAUUAGUACACAAAACCAAUGUACUAUGACUUAGAAACAUACCUUUGCUCUUGAUUUGCACUUUGUUCAUCCAUGGGCAUAGAUUCACAUUUAAGCAUUUAUGUUGGCACUCAAUCACCAAAAUACUUUAGAAAUGGCCCAAGGGCACAUUUCCCUUUCAGGCCCUCACCACCAAACCGUCGGUGACUUCUUCCGCGCAGGCAAACUCUAAGCCUGAGGAAGACCUCGCGGUACCCGCGAACGAGGCUCAAGCUGCGACCUCUAUGCGGCCGACUGAAGAAACCAAAAGAGUCAACCUUGGGUUCACUGAUGAACGCAAAACCACCACCAUCAGCUCCAGCCUGGAUGACAAAUAGGAAGGCGCGCUCGUCCAGUUCCUGCAAGAUAACCGAGACGUGUUCGCAUGGCAACCUGCGGAUAUGGCGGGAGUCCCAAGAGAACUGGCCGAGCACAAAUUAAAAGUCUACCCCCAGGCGAGGCCGAUCCGGCAAAAGUUGUGUCGUUUCACGCCCGACAAGAGAGAGGCCAUUCGCGCUGAGCUGGCUCGCUUGGUCGCGGCUGGAUUUAUUAGAGAGGUGUUACAUCCCGAGUGGUUAGCCAACCCUGUUCUUGUACUCAAAAAGAAUAAAGUGGAUUGGCGCAUGUGUGUCGACUAUACGGAUCUCAACAAACACUGUCCAAAGGAUCCCUUCGGGCUCCCUAGGAUAGAUCAGGUGGUAGAUUCCACCGCUGGAUGUUCUAUGCUGUCCUUCUUGGAUUGCUACUCUGGGUAUCAUCAGAUUAGCCUGGCGAAAGAAGACGAGGAAAAAACAGCGUUCAUCACUCCAUUCGGUGCUUUCUGCUAUACCUCCAUACCGUUCGGCCUCAAAAACGCUGGAGCGACUUAUCAGAGAGCUAUUCAAACAUGCUUAGCCGAUCACUGGGGCAAGCGUGUGGAAGCUUAUGUGGACGACGUGGUCAUCAAAACAGAAAAUUCGGAAAAUUUCAUUAAAGAUUUACAGCUGGUUUUCAACAGUCUACGACGAUAUCGAUGGAAGCUUAAUCCCGAAAAAUGUGUUUUCGGGGUACCAGCAGGAAAGUUACUCGGGUUUAUUAUCAGCCACCGGGGAAUUGAAGCUAAUCCAGAAAAGAUCGAAGCUAUCAUGAGGAUGGAGGCACCGCGAUCACAGAAGAAAGUUCAAAGACUUACCAGAUGUAUGGCAGCCCUGAGCAGAUUCAUAUCCAUGCUGGGAGAAAAAGGCUUACCAUUUUAUAAGUUACUCAAGAAGGUGGACAAGUUUUAGUGGACUUCAGAAGCACAGGAAGCCCUAGACGCAUUGAAAAAGUUCUUGACAACACCACCAGUGCUAAAACCACCGCGUCGAGCCACGCCGACUCAACCAGCUGAAGAGCUGUUGCUAUAUAUCUCUUGCACGACUCACGUGGUGAGCACCGCGUUGGUAGUCGAGCGAGCAGAAGAAGGGCAUGCAUACCCAGUACAACAUCCUGUUUAUUUCAUCAGUGAAGUUCUGGGUCCCUCGAAGAAGAAAUACCCUCAAGUUCAGAAGCUAUUAUAUGCAGUACUUCUAACUGCACGCAAGCUCCAUCACUACUUCGACGACCACAAAGUCAUAGUAGUCACGGGAUUUCCGAUAGGAGAUAUUCUUCACAACAAAGAAGCCAUCGGGAGAAUAGCUAAGUGGGCCUGCGAGCUGGGAUCUCAUGACAUCGAAUUUCGACCUCGCACUGCCAUUAAAACUCAAGCACUAGUUGACUUCGUAUCAGAGUGGACCGAACAACAAGUACCAGAUAACCCAGAAACCGCAGAAGUAUGGCGAAUGUAUUUUGAUGGCUCGUUAAAACUGCAGGGAGCAAGCGCAGGGAUCCUCUUUACCGCACCUGGAGGCGAGCACCUCAGAUAUGCCCUUCAGUUGUUAUUUCCAGCCUCUAACAAUGCAGUAGAAUAUGAAGCUCUGAUUCAUGGACUAAACAUUGCUAUAUCACUGGGCAUCAAGAGACUGAUGGUAUACGGAGAUUCUCUGGUAGUCAUAAGUUAGAUAAAUAAAGAAUGAGAUUGUUCGAGUGACUCAAUGGGAAAAUACUGCACUGCCGUCCGGAAACUAGAAGAUAAAUUCGAAGGUCUGGAAUUUCACCAUGUAGAAAGAGAUUGAAACAUGGCAGCUGAUGUAUUGUUUAAGCUAGGAUCCAGUCGAACUCAGGUCCCACCGGGAGUCUUUGUUCAAGAAAUACCACACCCAAGCAUCUCACUGGAUCAAGCAGAAGAAUGUAAUACUGAAAGGGAAUUAGGCUUACACCUAGUCCCUAUAUAAUUUUGGUGGUUGAAUUGCCCAACACAAAUAAUUGGACUAACUAGUUUGCUCUAGUGUAUAAGUUAUACAGGUGAUAAAGGUUCACACUUAGCCAAUAAAAAGACCAAGAGUUGGGUUCAACAAAAGAGCAAAGGGUCAACCGAAGGCACCUCUGGUCUGGGAGCACCGGACUGUCCGGUGUACACCGGACAGUGUCCGGUGCACCACCGGACAGUGUCCGGUGCACCAGAGGACUCCAACGCAAACUCGCCACCUUCGGGAAUUUCUGAGGCGACUCCGCUAUAAUUCACCGGACUGUCCGGUGUACACCGGACAGUGUCCGGUGCGCCAAGAAGGAGCGGCCUCAGGAACUCGCCAGCUUCGGGAAUCUCCAACGGCUAGUUCGCUAUAAUUCACCGGACAUGUCCGGUGUGCACCGGACUGUCCGGUGCAACUCCGGAGCAAUGGCUACUCGGCGCCAACGGCUACCUGCAGCGCAAUUAAUGCGCGCUCUGCGCGCGCAGAAGGCAGGCGCGCCCAUACUGGCGCACCGGACAAGGAACAGUAGAUGUCCGGUGAGGCGGGCCCAGAAGUCAGAAGCUCCAACGGUCAGAAUCCAACGGCAGUGAUGACGUGGCGGGGGCACCGGACAUGUCCGGUGUGCACCGGACUGUCCGGUGCGCCAUCGAACAGACAGCCUCCCAACAGCCACUUUUGGUGGUUGGGGCUAUAAAUACCCCAACCACCCCACCAUUCAUUGCAUCCAAGUUUUCCUCUUCCUAACUACUACAAGAGCUCUAGCAUUCAAUUCCAGACACACCAAAGAGAUCAAAUCCUCUCCAAAUUCCACACAACGCCAUAGUGACUAGAGAGAGUGAUUUGCUUGUGUUCUUUCGAGCUCUUGCGCUUGGAUUGCUUUCUUCUUUCUUGAUUCUUUCAUUGCGAUCAAACUCACUUGUAAUUGAGGCAAGAGACACCAAACUUGUGGUGGUCCUUGUGGGAACUUUGUGUUCCAAGUGAUUGAGAAGAGAAAGCUCACUCGGUCCGUGGGAUCGUUUGAGAGAGGGAAGGGUUGAAAGAGACCCGGCCUUUGUGGCCUCCUCAACGGGGAGUAGGUUUGCAAGAACCGAACCUCGGUAAAACAAAUCCGCGUGUCACACUCUUCAUUUGCUUGCAAUUUGUUUUGCACCCUCUCUCGCGGACUCGUUUCUUUAUUACUAACGCUAACCCGGUUUGUAGUUGUGUUUAUAUUUGUAAAUUUCAGUUUCGCCCUAUUCACCCCCCCCCCUCUAGGCGACUAUCAAUUGGUAUCAGAGCCCGGUGCUUCAUUAGAGCCUAACCGCUCGAAGUGAUGUCGGGAGAUCACGCCAAGAAGGAGAUGGAGACCGGCGAAAAGCCCACUACAAGCCACGGGAGCACUUCAUCGGAAGAGUCCCGCACCAAGAGGAGGGAGAAGAAGAAGAGCUCCUCCAACAAAGGCAAGGAGAAGAAAUCUUCUUCUCACCAUAAAGAGAAGAAGGAAAAAUCUUCUUCCCACAAGCCGCAUCGAAGUGGGGACAAGCAAAAGAGGAUGAGGAAAGUGGUCUACUACGAGACCGAAACUUCAUCAACAUCAACCUACGACUCCGAUGCGCCCUCCGUAACUUCUAAACGCCAAGGGUGUAAGAAGUUUAGUAAGACCCCCCUACACUAUCCUCGCAUUUCUAAACAUGCACCUCUACUUUCCGUUCCAUUAGGCAAACCACCAACUUUUGAUGGUGAAGAUUAUGCUAGGUGGAGUGAUUUAAUGCGAUUUCAUCUAACCUCACUCUACAAAAGUAUAUGGGAUGUUGUUGAGUUUGGUGCACAGGUCCCGUCGGUAGGGGAUAAAGAUUAUGAUGAGGAUGAGGUGGCCCAAAUCGAGCACUUCAACUCUCAAGCGACAACAAUACUCCUCGCCUCUUUAAGUAGAGAGGAGUAUAACAAAGUUCAAGGGUUGAAGAGCGCCAAGGAGAUUUGGGAUGUGCUCAAAACCGCGCACGAGGGGAGAUGAGCUCACAAAGAUCACCAAGCGGGAAACGAUCGAGGGGGAGCUCGGUCGGUUCCGGCUUCGCAAAGGGGAAGAGCCACAACACAUGUACAACCGGCUCAAGACCUUGGUAAACCAAGUGCGCAACCUCGGGAGCAAAAAGUGGGACGACCACGAAAUGGUUAAGGUUAUUCUAAGAUCCCUCAUUUUCCUUAACCCCACUCAAGUUCAAUUAAUUCGUGGUAAUCCUAGAUAUACUAUAAUGACCCCCGAGGAGGUUAUCGGGAAUUUUGUAAGUUUUGAGUGCAUGAUCGAAGGCUCGAGGAAGAUCAACGAGCUUGAUGAUCCCACCACAUCCGAAGCUCAACCAGUCGCAUUCAAGGCGACGGAGGAAAGGAAGGAAGAGUCUACACCAAGUAGACAACCAAUCGACGCCUCCAAGCUUGACAACGAGGAGAUGGCGCUCGUCAUCAAGAGCUUUCGCCAAAUCCCCAAACAAAGGAAGCGGAAAGAUUACAAGUCCCACUCCAAGAAGGUUUGCUACAAGUGUGGUAAGCCCGGUCACUUUAUUGCUAAAUGUCCAUUAUCAAGUGACAGUGAUAGGGAUAACGACAAGAAGGGGAGAAGAAAGGAGAAGAAGAAGUAUUACAAGAAGAAGGGCGGUGAUGCCCAUGUUUGUCGGGAGUGGGAUUCCGACGAAAGCUCAAGCGACUCCUCCGACGACGAGGACGCCGCCAACAUCGCCGUCACCAAGGGACUCCUCUUCCCCAAUGUCGGCCACAAGUGCCUCAUGGCAAAGGACGGCAAACGGAAGAAGGUUAAAUCUAACUCCUCCACUAAAUAUGAGUCCUCUAGUGAUGAUAAUGCUAGAGAUGAGGAGGAUAAUUUGCGUAUCCUUUUUGCCAACCUCAACAUACAGCAAAAGGAGAAACUUAAUGAAUUGAUUAGUGCUAUUCAUGAAAAGGAUGACCUUUUGGACACUCAAGAGGACUUCCUUAUUAAAGAAAAUAAGAAGCAUGUUAAGGUUAAAAAUGCUUAUGCUCUAGAAAUUGAGAAAUGUCAAAAAUUAUCUAGUGAGCUAAGCACUUGCCAUGAAACAAUAGGCAACCUUAGAAAUGAAAAUGCUAAUUUGUUAGCUAAGGUUGAUUCUCAUGUUUGCAAUGUUUCAAUUCCCAACCCUAGAGAUAAUAAUGAUGAUUUGCUUGCUAGGAUUGAAGAAUUGAACAUUUCUCUUGCUAGUCUUAGAUUAGAAAAUGAAAAUUUGAUUGCUAAGGCUAAAGAUUUUGAUGUUUGCAAAGUUACAAUUUCCGAUCUUAGAGAUAAAAAUGAUAUUCUACAUGCUAAGAUUGUUGAACUUAAUUCUUGCAAACCAUCUACAUCUACUAUUGAGCAUGUCACUAUUUGUACUAGAUGUAGAGAUAUUGAUAUCAAUGAUAUUCAUAAUCAUAUGGCUUUAAUUAAACAACAAAAUGAUCAUAUAGCCAUAUUAGAUGCUAAAAUUGCCGAGCAUAACUUAGAAAAUGAAAAGUUUAAAUUUGCUAGAAGUAUGCUCUAUAAUGGGAGACGCCCUGGCAUCAAGGAUGGCAUUGGCUUCCAAAGAGGAGACAAUGUCAAACUUAAUGCCCCUCCUAAGAAAUUAUCUAACUUUGUUAAGGGCAAGGCUCCCAUGCCUUAGGAUAACGAGGGUUACAUUUUGUACCCUGCCGGCUAUCCUGAGAACAAAAUUAGGAGAACUCAUUCUAGGAAGUCUCACUCUGGCCCUAACCAUGCUUUUAUGUAUAAGGGUGAGACAUCUAGCUCUAGGCAACUAACCCGUGCUAAGUUGCCUAAGAAGAAAACUCCUAGUGCAUCAAAUGAUCAUGAUAUUUCUUUUAAAACUUUUGAUGCAUCUUAUGUGUUGACUAACAAAUCCGGCAAAGUAGUUGCCAAAUAUGUUGGGGGCAAGCACAAGGGGUCAAAAACUUGUGUUUGGGUACCCAAAGUUCUUGUGUCUAAUGCCAAAGGACCCAAAACCAUUUGGGUACCUAAAGUCAAGAACUAAACUUGUUUUGUAGGUUUAUGCAUCCGGGGGCUCAAGUUGGAUACUCGACAGAGGGUGCACAAACCACAUGACAGGGGAGAAGAAGAUGUUCUCCUCCUACGAGAAAAACCAAGAUCCCCAACGAGCUAUCACAUUUGGGGAUGGAAAUCAAGGUUUGGUCAAAGGUCUUGGUAAAAUUGCUAUAUCUCCUGACCAUUCUAUUUCAAAUGUUUUUCUCGUAGAUUCUUUAGAUUACAAUUUGCUUUCCGUAUCUCAAUUAUGUCAAAUGGGCUACAACUGUCUAUUCACUGAUGUAGGUGUCACUGUCUUUAGAAGAAGUGAUGAUUCAAUAGCAUUUAAGGGAGUGUUAGAGGGUCAGCUAUACUUGGUAGAUUUUGAUAGAGCCGAACUCGACACCUGCUUAAUUGCUAAGACUAACAUGGGCUGGCUCUGGCAUCGCCGACUAGCACAUGUUGGAAUGAAGAAUCUUCACAAGCUUCUAAAGGGAGAACACAUUUUAGGACUAACAAAUGUUCAUUUUGAGAAAGACAGGAUUUGUAGCGCAUGCCAGGCAGGAAAGCAAGUUGGCGCCCAUCAUCCACACAAGAACAUCAUGACGACCGACAGGCCGCUUGAACUACUCCACAUGGAUCUAUUCGGCCCGAUUGCUUACAUAAGCAUCGGCGGGAGUAAGUAUUGCCUUGUAAUAGUGGAUGAUUAUUCUCGCUUCACUUGGGUAUUCUUUUUGCAGGAAAAAUCUCAAACCCAAGAGACCUUAAAGGGAUUCUUGAGACGGGCUCAAAAUGAGUUCGGUUUAAGGAUCAAGAAAAUUAGAAGCGACAACGAGACAGAGUUCAAGAACUCUCAAAUCAAAGGCUUUCUUGAGGAGGAGGGAAUCAAGCAUGAGUUCUCUUCUCCCUACACCCCUCAACAAAAUGGUGUAGUGGAGAGGAAGAAUCGAACUCUAUUGGACAUGGCAAGAACCAUGCUUGAUGAGUACAAGACUUCGGAUCGGUUUUGGGCCGAGGCGGUCAACACCGCUUGCUACGCCAUCAACCGGUUAUAUCUACACCGAAUCCUCAAGAAGACAUCCUAUGAACUCCUAACCGGUAAAAAGCCCAAUAUUUCAUAUUUUAGAGUCUUUGGUAGCAAAUGUUUUAUUCUUGUUAAAAGAAGUAGAAAAUCUAAAUUUGCUCCUAAGACUGUAGAAGGCUUUUUACUAGGAUAUGACUCAAACACAAGGGCAUAUAGAGUCUUUAACAAGUCCACUGGACUAGUUGAAGUCUCAUGUGACGUUGUGUUUGAUGAAACUAACGGCUCUCAAGUAGAGCAAGUUGAUCUUGAUGAGAUAGGUAUUGAAGAGGCUCCAUGCAUCGCGCUAAGGAACAUGUCCAUUGGGGAUGUGUGUCCUAAGGAAUCCGAAGAGCCUCCAAAUGCACAAGAUCAACCAUCCUCCUCCAUGCAAACAUCUCCACCGACUCAAAAUGAGGAUGAGGCUCAAGUUGAUGAAGUAGAAGAUCAAGCAAAUGAGCCACCUCAAGAUGACUGCAAUGAUCAAGGGGGAGAUGCAAUUGAGGAAGACAAGGAGGAUGAAGAACAAAGACCGCCACACCCAAGAGUUCACCAAGCAAUUCAACGAGAUCACCCCGUCGACACCAUCCUCGGCGACAUUCAUAAGGGGGUAACUACUAGAUCUCGUGUUGCACAUUUUUGUGAGCAUUACUCUUUUGUUUCCUCUAUUGAGCCACACAGGGUAGAGGAAGCACUCCAAGAUUCGGAUUGGGUGGUGGCAAUGCAAGAGGAGCUCAACAACUUCACUAGGAAUGAGGUAUGGCAUUUAGUUCCACGUCCUAAUCAAAAUGUUGUAGGAACCAAAUGGGUCUUCCGCAACAAGCAAGAUGAGCAUGGUGAGGUGACAAGGAACAAAGCUCGACUUGUGGCGAAAGGAUACUCCCAAGUCGAAGGUUUGGAUUUCGGUGAAACCUAUGCACCCGUAGCUAGGCUUGAAUCAAUUCGCAUAUUAUUGGCCUAUGCUACUUACCAUGGCUUUAAGCUUUAUCAAAUGGACGUAAAAAGUGCCUUCCUCAAUGGACCAAUCAAGGAAGAGGUCUAUGUUGAGCAACCUCCCGGCUUUGAAGACAGUGAGUACCCUAACCAUGUCUAUAAGCUCUCUAAGGCGCUUUAUGGGCUCAAGCAAGCCCCAAGAGCAUGGUAUGAAUGCCUUAGAGAUUUUCUUAUUGCAAAUGGAUUCAAAGUCGGAAAAGCCGAUCCUACACUCUUUACUAAAACUCUUGAAAAUGACUUGUUUGUAUGCCAAAUUUAUGUUGAUGAUAUUAUAUUUGGGUCUACUAACGAGUCUACAUGUGAAGAGUUUAGUAGGAUUAUGACACAGAAAUUCGAGAUGUCUAUGAUGGGGGAGUUGAAGUAUUUCUUAGGAUUUCAAGUGAAGCAACUCCAAGAAGGCACCUUCAUUAGCCAAACGAAGUACACUCAAGAUAUUCUAAGCAAGUUUGGAAUGAAGGAUGCCAAGCCCAUCAAGACACCCAUGGGAACUAAUGGGCAUCUCGACCUCGACACGGGAGGUAAGUCCGUGGAUCAAAAGGUAUACCGGUCGAUGAUCGAUUCAUUACUCUAUUUAUGUGCAUCUCGACCGGACAUUAUGCUUUCCGUUUGCAUGUGUGCAAGAUUCCAAAUCGACCCUAAGGAAGCUCACCUUAAGGCCGUAAAACGAAUCUUGAGAUAUUUGGCUUAUACUCCUAAGUUUGGGCUUUGGUAUCCUAGGGGAUCCACAUUUGAUUUGAUUGGUUAUUCGGAUGCCGAUUGGGCGGGGUGUAAAAUCAAUAGAAAGAGCACAUCGGGGACUUGCCAGUUCUUGGGAAGAUCCUUGGUGUCUUGGGCUUCAAAGAAGCAAAAUUCGGUCGCUCUUUCCACCGCCGAAGCCGAGUACAUUGCCGCAGGCCAUUGUUGCGCGCAAUUGCUUUGGAUGAGGCAAACCCUGCGGGACUACGGUUACAAAUUAACUAAAGUCCCUUUGCUAUGUGAUAAUGAGAGUGCAAUCAAGAUGGCGGAUAAUCCCGUCGAGCAUAGCCGCACUAAACACAUAGCCAUUCGGUAUCAUUUUCUCAGGGAUCAUCAACAAAAGGGAGAUAUCGAGAUUUCUUACAUUAAUACUAAAGAUCAAUUAGCCGAUAUCUUUACCAAGCCACUUGAUGAACAAUCUUUUAACAAACUUAGGCAUGAGCUCAAUAUUCUUGAUUCACGCAAUUUCUUUUGCUAGAUUGCACACAUAGCUCAUUUCUAUACCUUUGAUCAUGUCUCUUUCCUAUGCUAUGACUAAUGUGUUUUCAAGUCUAUUUCAAACCAAGUCAUAGGUGUAUUGAAAGGGAAUUUAAAGUCCUCGGCGAAGACAAAGGCUUCCACUAUGUAACUCAUCUUUCGCCGUCACUCCAAGCAACCCUCCAUUCUUGGGAGAAAAAGCAUGAGCAUCAAAGAAAAGGACUUCGUCUUUGGGGGAGAGAGUGAAAGAGCCCAAAGCAAAAGACCGGACUUCGUCUUUGGUAUAAUCUUAACUCAUUCAUUUAUGACCAAAGGGGAAGAAAGCACUUUGUGGGCUCUAAUAAUUCCGUUUUUGGCGAUUCAUGCCAAAGGGGGAGAAAGUAAGAGCCCAAAGCAAAAGGACCGCACCACCACCAAUUUCAAAAACUUUGUGUUUCCAAGGAUAUUAUCAAUUGGUUUUCCUAUUGUGUUCAAAAGGGGGAGAAAGUAGUAUUUCAAAAAUUAUCAAAACCCUCUUGAACACUAAGAGGAGGAUCUCAUUUAGGGGGAGUUUUGUUUAGAAGCAUUUGACACAGGAGGAGAAAAUUUCAAAAUCUCGAAAAUGCUUUGCAAAAUCUUAUUCAUUUAUCUUUGACUAUUUGCAAAAGAACUUUGAAAAGGAUUUACAAAAAGAGUUUGCAAAAACAAAACAUGUGGUGCAAGCAUGGUCCAAAAUGUUAAAUAAGAAAGAAACAUUCCAUGCAUAUCUUGUAAGUAGUUAUAUUGGCUCAAUUCCAAGCAACCUUUACACUUACAUUAUGCAAACUAGUUCAAUUAUGCACUUCUAUAUUUGCUUUGGUUUGUGUUGGCAUCAAUCACCAAAAAGGGGGAGAUUGAAAGGGAAUUAGGCUUACACCUAGUCCCUAUAUAAUUUUGGUGGUUGAAUUGCCCAACACAAAUAAUUGGACUAACUAGUUUGCUCUAGUGUAUAAGUUAUACAGGUGAUAAAGGUUCACACUUAGCCAAUAAAAAGACCAAGAGUUGGGUUCAACAAAAGAGCAAAGGGUCAACCGAAGGCACCUCUGGUCUGGGAGCACCGGACAGUGUCCGGUGCACCAGAGGACUCCAACGCAAACUCUCCACCUUCGGGAAUUUCUGAGGCGACUCCGCUAUAAUUCACCGGACUGUCCGAUGUACACCGGACAGUGUCCGGUGCGCCAAGAAGGAGCGGCCUCAGGAACUCGCCAGCUUCGGGAAUCUCCAACGGCUAGUUCGCUAUAAUUCACCGGACAUGUCCGGUGUGCACCGGACUGUCCGGUGCAACUCCGGAGCAACGGCUACUCGGCGCCAACGGCUACCUGCAGCGCAAUUAAUGUGCGCUCUGCGCGCGCAGAAGGCAGGCGCGCCCAUAAUGGCGCACCGGACAAGGAACAGUAGAUGUCCGGUGAGGCGGGCCCAGAAGUCAGAAGCUCCAACGGUCAGAAUCCAAUGGCAGUGAUGACGUGGCGGGGGCACCGGACAUGUCCGGUGUGCACCGGACUGUCCGGUGCGCCAUCGAACAGACAGCCUCCCAACGGCCACUUUUGGUGGUUGGGGCUAUAAAUACCCCAACCACCCCACCAUUCAUUGCAUCCAAGUUUUCCUCUUCCCAACUACUACAAGAGCUCUAGCAUUCAAUUCCAGACACACCAAAGAGAUCAAAUCCUCUCCAAAUUCCACACAACGCCAUAGUGACUAGAGAGAGUGAUUUGCUUGUGUUCUUUCGAGCUCUUGCGCUUGGAUUGCUUUCUUCUUUCUUGAUUCUUUCAUUGCGAUCAAACUCACUUGUAAUUGAGGCAAGAGACACCAAACUUGUGGUGGUCCUUGUGGGAACUUUGUGUUCCAAGUGAUUGAGAAGAGAAAGCUCACUCGGUCUGUGGGAUCGUUUGAGAGAGGGAAGGGUUGAAAGAGACCCGGCCUUUGUGGCCUCCUCAACGGGGAGUAGGUUUGCAAGAACCGAACCUCGGUAAAACAAAUCCGCGUGUCACACUCUUCAUUUGCUUGCGAUUUGUUUUGCACCCUCUCUCGCGGACUCGUUUCUUUAUUACUAACGCUAACCCGGCUUAUAGUUGUGUUUAUAUUUGUAAAUUUCAGUUUUGCCCUAUUCACCCCCCCUCUAGGCGACUAUCAAAUACCUUGAGCCAACCAGAGCCAGAUUCUGAUGACUGGAGGAAGCCGAUCAUCAAAUAUAUAAAAAAUGAGGAGGAGCCAGAUGACAAGAAUACAGUUGAGCGCAUCGCAAGACAAUCAGCUCACUAUACACUCAUUGGGGAAACACUAUACAGAAGGGGUGCAUCAGGAGUCCUCAUGAAAUGCAUUCUCUUAGCCACUGGAAAGCAACUUCUGGAUGAAGUCCAUGCUGGGCAAUGUGGAGUACACGCAGCAUCCAGGACCCUAGUUGGGAAGGUUUUCAGGUCAGGUUUCUAUUGGCCAACAGCGAAGAGUGAUGCAGCCGAGUUAGUCCAGAGGUGUGAAGCUUGCCAGUACCUGUCAAAACAGCAGCAUCUACCAGCACAACAGCUGCAGACUAUACCCAUAACUUGGUCGUUCGCGAGCUGGGGAUUGGAUAUGAUUGGACCUUUCAAAAAAGCUCAAGGAGGAUACACUCAUGUACUGGUGGCUAUCGACAAAUUCACUAAAUGGAUAGAGUUCAAACCUAUUGCUUCUCUAACUUCAGCUAAGGCAGUGGAAUUCAUACAAGAUAUAAUAUUUAGGUUCGAGAUACCGAAUACCAUCAUAACCGACCUAGGAUCCAACUUCACCAGUUCGGAAUUCUUCAAUUUCUGUGAGCAAAAGAGCAUUCAGAUCAAAUAUGCCUCGGUGGCACAUCCAAGGGCCAACGGGCAAGUAGAAAGAGCUAACGGGAUGAUAUUAGAAGCACUCAGAAAGAAAGUCUUUGACAAGAACGAGAAAUUCGCAGGAAAAUGGAUCAGAGAACUGCCAUACGUAGUCUGGAGCCUGAGAACUCAACCCAGCCGAGCUCUGCAUGGAAACACCCCCUUCUUUAUGGUUUACGGUUCGGAGGCAGUGCUACUUGCCGAUCUCAAGUUCGGGGCACCAAGGUUAAUCUUUGAUGACAUAGCAGAAGCUGAAGCCACUAGGCUAGAAGACGUUGACGUACUCGAAGAAGAGCGACUGAAUACGGUGAUUCAAUCAGCGCGAUAUCAGCAAACUCUGAGGCGCUAUCAUGAUAAGACCAUACAGCGUCGAUCCUUCGCAGUGGGAGAUCUCGUCCUCCACCGAAUUCUAAUGGGGGAGGGACGACAUAAAUUGUCACCUCUAUGGGAAGGACCAUUCAUAGUAGCAGAAGUCACUCGGCUGGGAUCAUAUUGCCUUACUCAGAUGGACGGAACAGAAAUUGGGAACUCAUGGAACAUAGAGCAUCUCAGGAAAUUCUACCCGUAGCUACAUCACGGAGGCUCUCGGAACGACGAUGUAUUCUGUAAAUUGAGAAAAAUAUCAUCAAUAAAAAGGUUUCAAAGGCGCUCAGAUUGUUCACUGUCAAUUGACACGCAUACUUGACUCAGGGUGACCACUAUGCCCUGCUAACGGAGCAAUCGACUUAAGUCGGCAACGACUUAAGGCGGUGCGACAUGCUCACGCAUACUUAACUCUGGGUGACCACUAUGCCCUGCUAACGGAGCAAUCGACUUAAGUCGGCAACGACUUAAGGCGGUGCGACAUGCUCACGCUUACUUAACUCGGGUGACCACUAUGCCCUGCUAACGGAGCAAUCGACUUAAGUCGGCAACGACUUAAGGCGGUGCGAUAUGCUCACGCUUACUUAACUCGGGGUGACCACUAUGCCCUGCUAACGGAGCAAUCGACUUAAGUCGGCAACGACUUAAGGCGGUGCGACAUGCUCACGCUUACUUAACUCGGGGUGACCACUAUGCCCUGCUAACGGAGCAAUCGGCUUAAGUCGGCAACGACUUAAGGCGGGGCAACAUGCUCACGCAUACUUAACUCAGGGUGACCACUAUGCCCUACUAACAGAGCAAUCGGUUUGAGUCGGCAAUGACUUAAGGCGGUGCGACAUGCUUAUACUUAUCUAAAACUCGGGGUGACCACUACGCCCCACUAGCGGAGCAGUCGGUUUAAAUUGAUGCUAAUUUAAAUCGGCGUUGCGCGCUUGGCAUGUUCGCAAUCACCCGACUUAAGGCAACUUCUGUGCCCCAUGAUGAAAUUUCGAAAUCACCACACUGCAUUUACUUCUACAAAUGCAGAUACUAUUGAAUUCUAAACAAUAGGAAAACAAUAGUAGCAUUCAGCACUAAAAGGUGUCCUCUAACAAAACAUCCAAGCACGUUAACCACGCGUUCAAAACAUCCAAUGUUUUUAUAUUUUGCAAUGUUCUUCUCAGGAGCAACCGAUGAAGAGGGGCGACUUGAGGAAUCAGGAGCAGCAUUCACGUCAGCCCUUAUGUCGUCAGGAACAACCACACCAGGUCUCCUCAUCAGAAUCCGCCCCGCGCGAAUGGCUUUAUCCAUAGCUUUAUCGCGCUGGGCCCUCAGAGUAGCGGAAGUCUCUUCAGCAACCUUGACAGUCGACCGAGCGGUCUCUAGCUCCUGGGCGACGGCUUUCUUGGAAGCACGCAGAUCCUUAAUGACAUCAUCUUUGGUCGAUACCAACUACCUGAGGCGAAUCACGUCAUCCAAGGAUUCCUGCAGCUUAUAACGAUGAUUGUCUAACUCCUCCCUGGUGAAGCGAUGACUCCUCUCCAAGAUGGUCAACGAGUUGCUGGAGUCACGUUAUAGCCUGUCAAGAUUGUCACGAGAAGUAACGAGGGCACGUUUUUCUUCCUGCAAACAAGAAUCAGCUUCUUCAAACGUCAAGCAAGCAAUAAGAACACAGCAAAACAAAGCCCGGAUUCAUAGGUCACCUUUUCAGAGUCGAGCUGAGCGCAGAGGGUAGAGUUCAGCGUGUUAGCAUCAUUUAGAGAAGCAGAAACCCCGGCCUGUUCAGUCUGACCUUGAGAAUACUUUUCCUCGAGAUCAGAGCACCACCGGGCCAGUUCAGCUUGACCUCGAGAAUGAUUUUCUUCAAGAUCAGAAAGUUGUCGAGCCAAAGAAACAGUCAAGCAAAGGUGUUAAAAUAAGAAGCAGUUUAAUCAGGUAGCCAAAAAGAAGCAAAAGAGCACUGACCAGCAUUUGUCGCCUCUAAGUCAGAAACACGCCGCUGGAGCAGCACCGGAUUCCAACGCGCCAGAGACAAAGCUCCUUCUGGGACAGAAGCACCCUGCAACUUCAGCCGACUAGACAUCUCAUCGACCAACGUCUGGCAUUAAAAAGCAUACAAGCGUCAGAACAAUCAUCUGCCUAAGUAAAAGUUAGACCAGAAGAAACCAAAAUACCUGGAGGUUGGAGAAGAAUGAGGGAACCCCCAGGUCGUGAGAGGUCAAUUGAUGGCUCGGCGAAGGGUCACCAACCGGAACAACUCGCAACGAAUCAGCAACAACCAAUUCAGUGUUAUCAGCAGAAGUCAGAACUCUGGCAUUAGGUGUGUUGGCCUCUAAAGCGACUCCUCGAUCCAAGGCUGGAGCUAUCGCCAUGCAACCAGAGUGUGGAGGAGAAGACCCUAUGUGAACAUCCAUGGAAGUAUGGGAGGGAGAACCCACUCGGACACCCUCGGGGGCUGGGUCACAGCUUGCGCUACCCAUCCGAGCCGGAUCAUCCCCGGCAACACCCUCGGGGGCUGGGUAAGCGCCAGCACCAUCUGUUGGGGACUUGUUCUCAAAUGCUAAGAGUUAAGAACAAGGCAACAUAAAAAGUGUUAAGUGUUAAAGUCCUUCGUCCUUCGAAGCAUUAUGUCCCUUCGGGAAAUAAUGAGUUUCGGACGAAGGUCAUAAGAGACAUACCUUCGUAAACAUAACAAGUAAUGACGAAGGAUUCAUAUAAAGCAUGAAAUAUAAUAUAAGCAUCAUCAUAGAAUCAUUUCUAUUUUAUUAACAUGGAAAAAUAGAAAUGAUUUCAAAUUACAAAUGUACCUUCGGUCCUGAGAGAAGAUAAAAAGUACAAGCGUGACGCAAAAGCAAAUGCCAAGUCCGCGUGAACAGUACGGGAGUACUGUUCAUCUAUUUAUAGACGCGGGACGCAGCCUACGUAAAAUUACAUUUAUGUCCAUUACAUUUGUCAAUGACUUAUGGAAAUCUGACAAGGUCCACGUAGUCUUUUCAUCUUUAAGUCGGUUCCCCUCUCUGCUAUCGCGACGAAGCUUCCCUGCGCACAGCUUCGGCUGUGCACCAUCCUUCGUGGAGCUUGGUAAUCAGCCCGUCCUUCGUCUGGUUCAGGCUUCGUCCUGACCGCACUUCAUGUUCGUAAUUCUGAGUCCGAAGGUACCUGUUCACAUAAUCCACUUGGAAAACAUUGUCAAAUCAUGUUUUUGAGGACCUUCGGAGGACGAAGGCCCCCAACACCAUCCUUGAGGACCGAGUCCUCUGCAGCAGCCACCUCUAAGGCUGAAGGUCCCUCAGUCACUUCCAUGGGAGCAGGGCAAUCUAAACCAGCUUCCUGACCCUCAAGACCGCGCUCCAAGGUCGAUGAGGCACGGGACGCUGCCUGGGAUGACCCCAACCCGGCAUCGAGCACACCAGCGCAAACAUCCAUCGCGCCACCAUCCGCCGGUUCUGAUAACAGAUCUUCCAAAAUCAUGUCUUCAAGAGUUUGAUCAAAGUUCGCCAGAGAUAAUUCUUGCAGACCAAUGAGGGCAGGCAAGGCAGGAGAAGGAACACCACUACUUCCCCACUAGCUAUGUAACGCCGGCUGUUCUUCCGAAUCAGAGGGAUCUCGUCCUCUUCUUCAUCAUCCUCAUCAACAACAUGGACAUCACACCCAUUGGGGUCAGCGUCAGACGGGUCACACCCAUUGGGAUCAGCUUCAGUAAAUUCAGGCACUGGCACUUCCUCAGCAACAGGAGCAGAAGGACCGGCAUCCUGAUCCAAGCUAGACACCUGACGAAGACGUCUCUUCUUCUUUUUCUUCCCCUCAACAGGAAAAGAGGCUUGAUCGGCUCGGCAAGAACGUUUCAGACGAACAUUGACAGACUUCUGAGCGUCUAAAGCUUUGUCAGCCUCAGGGAUGGGCGCCACCACCAAUGUUUCAGCAGGAGCGGCAUCAGAGGAAUCCUCGGCCAACAUAUCAAGCAUGACACUUAUCUCUGCAUCACUUGGAUUCAAAGGCACCUCAAAAUGAACCUGCCACUCGUUGUCAGGAAUUUCUCCGAGCGAGGCAACCAAAGCACUAACUUCUUCAGGAGAGGGUCGCACUCUAAGACCCAAACCGCUAUCACCAGCAGGAGGAUUUGACACGAAACUAUUAAAAGCCUGGGAAGGAGACAGAUUCCAGGCCGAGUAUGCAACAGGGGCAUCGAUGUUCGAUACCUUGCCUCUAAGUAUCAUCUCAAGCCGGCUCACUAAAUCCACGGCAGGAAUUCUUCUGUUGGUUACCCGGGUUGAGUCAGCCAAGCCUCGGUACAGAUAAGCAGGAUAUGCUCUGUCUUUUAGUGGCUGAAUGUUCUUGAAAACAAAGUCAGCGACCACAACUUCUGUAGUCAGACCCCUUUCUUUCAGCAACCCAACUUCUGCUAACAAACCCCCUGCUUCAGCCACUUCCUGGUCCAUGGAGGACUCGGUCCAGCUCGGAGUGCGAACAUCCGACUAUCUCCCUGACCGUGGGGGGGGGGGAAUUCCCAUGAUUCUCCACGAUAAACCAUUCCAGGUGCCAUCCCUUGAUGCUGUCCUUGAGGGGGAUGUCGAGGUAAUCAAUUUUCCUUCCGUGGCGCAUCUCCAAGCUCACGCCCCCCACCAGCUGGUGCUUCCUCCCGGCCAUCCCAGGCCGACAGUGGUACAGAUACUUCCAAAGGCCAAAGUGGGGCAAAACUCCAAGAAAUACUUCACAUAAAUGAACGAAAACAGAAACUUGCAGAAUGGAAUUUGGAUUCAGAUGGGUCAGAUUCAGGCGAUAGCAAUCAAGGAGACCGUGGAAGAAAGGAGAAAUGGGCAGAGCGAGCCCACAGAUGAGAAAAGGAACGUAAAUGACGGAUUCGUGGGUGUCCUCUGUCGGAACAGUGACCCCACGGCAAAUCCGCCAUGAGCAGAGCUCCUUCGGAGGAAGAACCCCGAUGGAAACGAGAUGAAGGAGGUCAGAUUCGGAGACAACAGACAUAUGGUUACCUGCGAAGGGCAACUGACUAUUGGGAUCAAUGGGGGGAAUGAUUGCGACGGACAAACUCGAAGCUUUCCGCUUAGGCGCCAUUUCAACCUCGCCGGCGAACGGAGCAGAAGCGAUAUUGCAGAAGAACAAAGAAAGCCUGGAUGCAAAAAGCUAAGCAAAAACUAGGGCACGGAGCGUGGAGGCGCGCGAUAGUAUAGUACAUAUGGGGUUUUCCCGGGCCAGAUGCCGUUUCCAAAAAGUGCCCAGUCAUCACCCAGCGGUUAUUUCUAAAACGCUGACGUGCCAUGUCAUUACUCAGCUGCUAUUUCUAAAGAAGCUGGUGCGCCAUGUCAUCACUCGGCCGUUGUUUCUAAAACGGCCGACGCGGCUCAAAUUGACUCAGUUGUUGUUUCUAAAAACGCUGUCAUUAUCUGACUCCACUCGGCUAUUACCUUCAAAGUAGCUGACGCGGUCUAAUUAUCACUCGGCUGCUACCUCUAAAGCACCGAUGUCGCCAGUAAUCGUUCGGCUGUUACCUCUAAAACACCGAAGUCGCCAGUAACUGCUCGGUCGUUAUUUCUAAAACACCGACGCAACCCCCGUUACUACUCGGCUGUUACUUCUAAAAACACCGACGUCGCCAGUAAUCGUUCGGCUGUUACCUCUAAAACGCUGACAUCGCCAGUAACCGCUCGGUCGUUAUUUCUAAAACACUGACGCGGCCCGUUAUCACUCGGCCAUCACCUUUAAAUUGCCCCGACAUCGCUGAUAAUCACUCGGCCACCACUACUAAAGCGCUGGCAUCGUGAGGAAGGCAGUCUGAGGCACGACUCAACGAUUCUAAGUUGCUACUUAAGCGUUACGUUUAGAAACAACCUCUGCAGAAGGCAUCAAUACAAACAAUGAUCAACAAGAAGACGAAAUGAUAUACACAAGAGGGAUCAAAACCAUUCUUCAUUAUAUGGGAAGUACCAUCGAACUUACAAAUCAACUCAUUAUGAGCUGAUGCUUUCCCUUCUACUACAUUACAUUUAACUAACUAUACUACUAGCUACUACUACAUUAUUUCGCUAAUAAUAUUUCUACUACUAAUCUACACUAACAUUUAAAACUAGUGGCAUCUAGCCACUGGCCUUGUUGCUGCCCUUGCUGCUGCCCUUGCUGACGCUACCGCCGUCGCCGCCGCCGGCCUUGCCGCUGCCGUCACCGCCCUUGCCGCUACCGCUGCCACCGUCACCGUCGCCUCCAUCGCCGUCGCCAUCACCGCCGUCGCCGCCGCUGCCCUCCUCGGACGAGUCGGAGGAGUCCUCCUCAUCCGAGGAGUACUCCGACUCAUCUGAGCCCUCGAGCCCGGCACGCUCGACGCCCUGGAUGUAGGUCCAUACCUCCGCGGCAAUCCCCUGAGAGUCGUCUGAAUCAUCAGACGACGCCGGGGGAGAGACAUGAGCCGGAAAGCCCUCGGACUCGAAGGAGAACUCCUCCUCCGAGUAUUCCGAGUCGCCGAAGUCCUCCGAGGGAGGAGUCGGCUCGCGCUUGCGCUUGUCACCCGAGUGAUGUGAAGAGCUGCCACCUUUCUUACUCUUGCCCAUGGUGGAAGUGGAAGGAAGGAGAGGAGAUGAAGCAGAAAGCAGUAGCAAGAAGCGUGAAAACGCUGGAGAAGUAGGAGCACUAUUUAUAGAAGAAGAAGGCAAACACUCACCUCCUACCACGACCACCGAACAGUCACAAAAAUUCAAUAUACAAUUCAAAUCGUCUGAAGACACGUCAGGCGGCUGACGCCGUUUCACGUAACACGACACCCAUUGGGACUCCAGUCAACUGCGUGGGCGAUAUGAUUACACCCGCGGUCACAUCAAGUUACUACUCAGAAGCAGUUUGCUAAAUGCUCAGCGUACCAAGCCGUCCCUUGCCUACACCCAUUGGGGGGGACGCCCAGAAAUUAUCAGUAUAUUUUCCAAAACUGUCACAUCCAUGCAGUAUACGCAAUGAAUACUCCAAGACAGAAAAGAGAUACCAGCAAGGAUCAAAGGAAAGCCAAAUAUAGCUGAUAAGGUACAAGUCUAAUCAACAGAAGCAUCAAAGCACGAAGUGAUAUGAAGACUAGUCAAGACCCAUCUAUCGAACGUCCAAUCAGUUGCAGAUCAAAUAAAUUGUCAGACCUAGCAAGAUAUGGGCAUAUCGUGUACUCGACUUCAAAAAUAAAAAUGUAUGCUGACCUCUGAAGCAUAACGUUGAUGACAUAAUACUGACCUCUAAGGCAUUCGACAAAAGAAAAGGAUGAUUCUCAGAAAAAAGCAAGAAAUGAAGACCUUCGAGUGGAUUAUUUUCAAAAAUCCACUCGAAGCUCGGGGGCUACACCCAUUGGGUGCACCUUCGGUGCACCCAAUGAAUCACCAUCCCCGAAGAAGCAAAAUGCUGACCUCUAAAGCACAAGGCAAGGCUGGCCUCUGAAAAAACACGAGUGGAAGAUGAAAAUGAUUUCUGAUAAUACCCGAAGUAAAGACCUUCGAGUGGAUUGUCUGCAAAAAUCUACUCAAAGCUCGGGGGCUACACCCAUUGGGAGCACCUUCGGUGCACCCAAUGGACUUCACAGGUCGACAGUGCAAAAUGCUGACCUUCGAGGCACAAACCCGAGACAUAACACCAAAAUUUUGAGGAAUAAUAGCAGGAGAAGACAAUAAAAAGAAGACAUGUUAACCGGAUCGCUCAGAUUUCUGAAGUAGUGGCCCGACAGACUUAUUUCCAAAAGCACUCCCUGACAAAAUCAAAUACCGCAAGCUGGACCUGGGAUCUUUGGGCCGUUUAUUUCAAAAGCAGCCCAAAGAUCGAGGGCUUGUGAGGGACAGAUAUCCCCCGGGUUCACUAGAAGGAUAAAAGAUCUCACGAAAGGCCCAAAGGCCUCAUAAUUCGUAAGGUCACCCCCCUCGUGGGCCUGGGAGGAACGGACGGUGAGACAGAUCAGCACAAGACCGGGUCGGUGCAAGCCUAGACGACCCAAUAACAUCUGAGCAAUAAUUGCAAGCAGUAACCCGACCUUCCCGCACAGGAGCCCCGUACGUCGGAACUGGGCGAGGAUGAGUCAGCUGAACUAUAGGGAGAUAGACUCAGUUAGUUCUCUACAAUUCCGACUCACGUUGUUAUCAUAUCCACAUGUAAUGCCCCACGGUCGAGUAUAUAAGGCCUAAGGGACACUCCUUCAAGACGAUCGAUCGAGAGAGACAUCACUCGCCACUUAGCCAUCCACCCCGCUCUCUACGUUUUUCGACACUAGAGAGCUCCCUUGUAACCCACCGCAUAAAGCAUUCCAACCAGGACGUAGAGUGUUACGCAUCUCAAAGCGGCCCGAACCUGUACACAAUUGUCCACUAUCUCUCGUGCAUUUAGCAUGAACCAUCGAGCUACAGUCGAUAACACCAUCCUACUCCAAAAAGCACCUUGAGGUGCAACCCCGGGUGCGCGGUCGGACCCGAAACACCGACACCAGGCCACUCUACAAAUAUAACGAUAUACUACUCCUCUUUUAAUUUUUCGUGUUUUAACGGUAGUAACAUUUAAAACAAUCCAGUGGAAUUGUGGCAGUAAGGGAAAGGGAAUCAGGAAUUCAGAAACAAUUAAUCACAAUAGAGGAUAAUCAUGAGCACAUGGCAGCGGGUAGUCAGCACUCAGCACACAGCGCUCGCCGCUCAGGUGGUCGUUGCCCAUUGGCCAGGGAGGCGCUCCGCCCUCGCCUAUGAAUAAGAAAAUAAAGGGAAUGAGGUUGAAGAAGUAUAGUUUGGGAGAAGAUAUAAUGGCAGGGGCGGAUUUGGGGGUGGCGUGGCGUCAGUGCAGGCCGCACGCGUCAUUGCUACAGGGUCGCAGGGAGACUGAAGGCGGACUAGCGGAGGUGGUGGCAGAUGCCUGAGUCAGAGCCUGCCCGGCCGCCUCAGAGGUUGCUGCCUUAUGCCCUUACCGGAUUUGUAGAGCCUGAAGGCGUGGAGAGCGAUAGAGGACUGAAUGGAGACGGCCGCGCCCCAAGCAAUAUAUGAAGCGCAGCCGCGCAGGUUUGCAAAAUAAUUGGAAGAACCUAUGUUCUCGUGACUUGAGCGACUGAGGGAGACCACUAGAGCCAGGCUCAAUCGGUGUAAGCCAGAGGUCUUUUGGGCCACAUUUUUUGGCUGAAAUGUAUUUUGGGCUAGAUUUUUUGGUUGAAAAAAAUCUGUAUGCAAGAGAAUUUUUGGGUUGCGCCUCCGCCAUGACACAGGUGGCCCGGGGCCCAAAUCGGUCUAUGCAUAUAGGUGCAAUGUAUAGUAUUUUAUUUAUAUGGUCAAAAAACAAAUUUUGUACUGUAGACAAUAUUAUUUGUAGAGUGUAGUUUGAAUAUGAGCAUGUGUAUGGAUAAGCUGUUGGGACGGUCUUAACCGCACAAGUGACAAAUCACGUUCAUCGGUGUCCACUCCAGUACUCCACUGGUCGUUGUCUCCACAAAUCCGCGUCAUUUGCAGCCAAAACCCUCGCCGUCUUGUCUCCCCCCGCCCCCGUCGCCCUCCCCGUGAUCAGAUCGAGAGAGCAGGCCCGAUUCAAUUCGACCCGAGGCGCCGCGGCCUGAAGGAAUUUCGCGAGUCGCCCGGAAAAAAAGCCCUAGCCAGAUCAGCGAUGGCAACGCACCCGGCGUCCCCGACCGCCGGCGCUGGUGGCGACAGGUCGCCGUCCGGCCCGCCGCCGGUGCGCCUGUCUGCGGCACAGGCGGUGGCGGCGAUCCAGCCUACCUCACCGCGGUACUUUUUCUCCUCGCUAGCCGCUGCCUCUGCCGCGGCGUCCUCCCCGCACCGCCGCAUCGGCAUCGCCGUCGACCUCUCCGACGAGUCCGCCUUUGCCGUCAAGUGGGCCGUUCAGAACUACCUCCGCCCCGGGGACGCCGUGGUGCUGCUCCACGUCCGCCCCACCUCUGUGCUCUAUGGUGCCGACUGGGGCUCCAUCCCGGUCUCCGUCGACGACGACCCCGACGUCGACAUCGCCGAGGGUGCGGUGCGCGCUGCGGCCGCUGAGGAGGAGCCUGAGGAGGCGAAGAAGAAGCGGGAGGAGGAGUUCGACUCCUUCACGUCCACUAAGGCGCAGGACCUUGCGCAGCCGCUGGUCGGCGCGCAGAUCCCCUUCAAGAUCCACAUCGUCAAAGACCACGACAUGAAGGAGCGCCUCUGCCUCGAGGCCGAGCGCCUCGGCCUGUCCGCGAUGAUCAUGGGCAGCCGGGGAUUCGGUGCCUCGCGCAGGGUCGGGAAAGGGAGGCUCGGGAGCGUCAGUGACUACUGCGUGCACCACUGUGUCUGCCCGGUUGUGGUUGUGCGCUACCCAGAUGAUGCCUUCGGGGAUGAGCUGCGAACGGUACCUGAAAAUGAGCCUGUGUAUCAUGCGGCGCCGGAGGCCCAGAAAGGUUCGUCCUAUAUUCCUAUUGCUUCGUCUUCUACUUAGCACUGUUUCAUCCAUUGGGCCUGUCCUAUUUAAUUUGUUUGUCGACUAGUUUCCAUGUAGAGAUUGAAUGCUUUCCAUGUAGGUCUGUCCUAUGUUUCAUGAAGUAGGGAAUGAAAUGCUUUGCGUAUUGGAGUGUGCUGAUGGUGAGGAUAAAUGAGAGAACAUUAGGCUAUUCUCAGCAGCUGCCGUAUCUGAGCUCACAGCGGCAAUUUGCGCAACCAAAAUACACUGUAGCACAUCCAACAGACUGCGGAUGUGGCUACGCAUCAGCUCACAUCGGCAAUUUGCGCAAUCAAAAUACACUGUAGGACAUCUAGCAGACUGCGGAUGUGGCUACGCAUCAUCUGCGCUCCCCUCCGUCGUGCCGCAUAUUCACGUGUUCUCUCUCCUCAUCGCAUUCUGCUGGAGCACCGCUUCAUUUUACGAGACGUGAAUGGUUCGCAUCCGGUAGCUACCGGAAUCAGCCUUACAUUAUAAAGUUUUAACUACUCUAGAAAGAAAUUUCCCCUUCAUCUAAAGAAAGCAAGAAAAUUUUAAAGUACUAAUCGUUUUUGCCUUUAUAUGCCAAUGUGACUGUCCAGCCUAAAUAUCUGGCCUUUUGGCAUAGUUUUGCAUAGAGGUUUAACUUUUUCAUUUUGACUUGACAAAGAAUGAAGCAAAAUAAAUUAACCCAGCUGCUACAUAGACAUUGUCAAAUUGAUAUCCUAAUGUUGUCUCCUGGUAUGAAAAUGAUCACACUAUACUCCCGUGAGCAUGAUGCCAUAAUGUGUGAAAUUAUAAUACACAUUGCUCGAUAUUCUCAUGUCAGCAAUGUUCUUUUUCUUGAGACAUUUAAUUCCAUGUGGGAUUGGUUCCUCGUUUUGUUUAAUUUAGUAGCACAAAAAAGUGCUAACUGUUGCAUGACUAAACAUGGAUUUUCUGUUUAUAUCCAAACGUACAUAGACUCUCCAUGAGGAGAAAUGUUCUUGCUCAACAUGUUCAAAGUUGAAUAGCUAUCAAAAGUGCUGGCUGCUUGACAUUACUAGUCACAUUUUGUUUUUCAUCAUUAUCCCUUGGAAAGUUAUGAUAAAAGCUGUUUUUAUCCCUUGGAAAGGAUAUAGUGAAGUAUUUACUUUGGUCUAUAAAAUUUAUGUCACCUCCAACCAGGGCCUAGACGAGACAGCCGCUGCAUGGUUAUAAAAGUUAAUUUAUAACCCUGCAAGGCGCGUGAAAUGUAAAGGCAACAACGCAACUGUAAAUAUAAAAUGCAUGCAGAAUGUAAAUAGCUUGAAUGUAAACAUCACCAGAAUGUUAGCUUGUUAUAUCUCCAGCAGCCUUCCCUGUCCCAUCUCUCAUUUUGAACUCCACUCUGUAAACAAUACCAAACAGUGUUUUGCUUGGCAAUAUGGACUAUCUACCGCAAAGCGCAAACGGCCGUAGUAGCAAGUAGGCUGCUUGUCUUGUUAGUUGGUGUAAAUAAAUAGAUAAAUAUUAAUAACAUGGAUGUUGCUUGUCUUGUUAGUCAGUGCAUAUAAAUAAAUAAAUGUUUUAUUGCUUCCUAGCAAUAUUUCACCAAUACCUCUGCCUCCUAACACAAUAACACUAGCAGUGCUCAGCAGCACCGUACGGCCAUACCAAUAUCUAUUUAGCUAGAGCACAUAUUCUACAACAUUUUGGAGAGAUCUGCUUAGUCCAUGCUCGUAGUCUGCUUGUGUGUGCUGAGCUCCAAUGCCUCGAAGUCCUAUUUAUACGGCGAGCAGGAUGAGGCAGUCUUUGCUGCCAGGAACGGAUGGCUGCUGUUAAAUUAAGUGACGCCGAGCAAGAAGCUACUUGUUUAGUCCAGUAAAUUGAUAAGACCGGUGAGGCGGUGACUAUUUUAGCAUCUGGUGAUGGUGAGUAUGCGAAGCUGGUGGAUAAUAUCUUUUGUUGCCUAUGACAAAUGGGGGCUACUCAUAUUUUAAUCAAUUACACCUAGUCCUCGCUCUCAUAUAUGAAUACAGCAGCAAACUGGCCCUUACUCCUGCUUAUCUACCCCAGUUGGGUCCCACUGAAACUUAACGGUUGUUGGUUUUAUCUUAAGCAAAGAGUAAAUAUUUGACAAAUUAAUGUGUCUAGAUUCUAGAACAAAUAUAGGCUCCACAAUUUCUUUAAUCAAAAUCAGCAACAUUGUUGCUUGCAUGCUUAUCACAUAUUCAUAAUAAACCAUGCACAAGGAAAGAGUUAAGAUAAACUCAUGUACACAAUUAUUUGUUCAAUUAGUAAGUGUAUGUCGUGAUGCACAUGUAAACUAUUUUUCUACUUUAUCAAAGAAAAUAAUUGCAAACUAGGUGUAACCACAAACCAUUUAUAUAACAUGAUCAUUAACCCACUUAAUUGAUAACAUGUGAAAAUAAUUUAUAAUAUGCUAUACAUAGACUACAAACAUAGUUGUCCAUGAUCCUCUUGGGCUAGAUUAGAAACCAACUCUGAUUAGAGUUUAGAGAUAAAACAAAUCAGGACUGCAACAUUCAGUUCAUUUAGUGUCAGAGUUGGUUGGGAUGUUGUAACCGAGUAGGAUUUCUCUUGUAAUAGGUGGCUCCUACCUGUUAAAUAUACGGCCUCAUCGACCCUAGAGGUCAAGACGAGCAAUUUAAUAUUCCGCUGAUGUGUUUCUUUCAUGGUAAUUAGAGUGACCUCCUCCAUCUAUUAGCUGAUGUCCUGACCAAGAACAUGUCAACAACAACCUCACCAGCUAGAUUCCAUGGCGUCAUCUAGCUCCACACUAACGAUGCCUCCUAGGGCAAAGCAUUGUUGUAAAGCUCAAAAAGACCAACUUUUGCUCUGGAAAGUGCAAGUUCUGCCCAUCCUUAGAGGUGCACAACUACAAGGCUAUCUAGAUUGCACGACUGUAAUGCCUGACAAGAUCAUCUCUGUUAAGCAGGAUGACAAGAUGAUCAAUGAUGUCAACCAAAAUACAUCCAAUGGGUCAUGCUCCAGCAGCAGGUCCUUGGCUUCCUCUUGACAUCCAUUACUCAAGAAGUCAUGAGUAAAGUUGCCUUCUACAAAACACCCCAUGAGGUGUGGUCAGAAGUGCAGAAGAUCUACGCGUUGUAGUCAAGAGCCUGGACCGUGAACACACGAAUUUCCCUAAUAACGAUAAGGUAAUAUGACAAUGGCUAAAUAUAUUGCCAAGAUGAAAUAUCUUACAGAUGAGAUGGCAUUUGCAAAGAAGACUGCUGGUGAUGAAGAACUCGUCUUGUACAUUCUGAUGGGACUUGAUGAUGGGUACAACCCGGUGGUCUUUACAAUGGUGACCCAUGUUGAGCAGGUCACUAUAGUUAAAGCCACCUCCCAGCUUCUCAACUAUGAUGCCAGGAUGGAUCUACUUCAUGGAGGUCAUCAAGCCUCUGCUAAUGCUACUGUCCGAAUGCGAAGAAACAACAACCGUGACCGCGGAUGUGGUCGAGACAGAGGGCAUGGUGGCUACCAAGGUCCAUCAUCAUCUUUGUUUGAUGGAUGUCCACAAGCUUGACACAUUGUCAGGACAGUAGUCACCCUUAUGAUGAGGGGAGUAACCGAGGAAAACACAUAAAGAGGAGCAAUGAGUGAGUUUAUGAGCGGUGGUGGAAAGGUUGGGUAGCAUCGACAGUCCAAAACACGGGGAUGAGGGAUCCAAAGAGAGCGAGAUGGGGUUUGAAAAUAUCAAGGAGGAGCGUAGCGGUGUUAAGCGCCAUGACCCAAUAUCUGGUGUUAAGGAGCGAACAACUUUAUUGAUGGUGCAAAGCAUACCUUCAACUUCACCAUUUGAGGCAAAGUAUAGGGGCAAGACAUACGAAGCUUGAUGUCAUUGGAGUGGAAGAAAGUGCAUGCACUUUGGUUGUCGAAUUUGUGGCCAUUAUCGCACUGGAUGCCCUGAAUGGGAACGUCGAAUUGUGUGGCGACAUAGGCAAAGAAAUAAGACAGGGUGGAAAAUGUCUUAGAUUCCAGUUGAGGGGGAAUGUCCUAUUAAGAGUGGUAGUGCCUGUGCAAAUAACGGGGAAAUAAGUAUAUUAUUGAGACGAAGUUGAUGUGGAAGAGUGGUAGUGCCUGUGCAAAUAACGGGGAGAAGCUUUCCAUUAUCGACAAUAGUAUUAGAGGGAAAAGAUGGAGGGCAUGGGAUGAGUAUACCAUAGUCAGAGGUCAUAUGGUUGGUGACACUAGAGUCGAAGUAUCAAAUAGUUUGUGGAGGUUGGUGGAGCGAUAUGGUCUGGAAACUGGCUGCAAGACUUUGCUGAUCCCAGCCCAGUGCAAUAGUAGGGUUGUACAAUUUUGCCGAUAGAAGGGCCCAUUGAUGGGUGUCGGCCCAUCCUGGUUGGUCUCUAGGUAGUAGCGUGGGGUGGAGUUGCUAGGCCUGGUGUUGUUGUUGGGCCUAACGAGGUGUGCGUGAGGGAGUUGUUGGGCCAAGUGUGCAUGUUGGGCUCCAGCGAUGAGGGCAUGACGAUGCAAGAGGGACGACAAUAGUGGGUCGUGCCACAUGUUGAUGGACCCGUCUAGGGUUCAUGAAAACUAGGCCACAACGUGGUUUGGUCCCUGGACAGACCAUCGAGCAGUGUGUCGUCCCACUUGGCUCCCUGCCGCGUUUGUCGCUGUCGUUGGAGGAGAGCAUUGUGUGGAAUGGUGGCCGAGGUAGGAGAGCUAUAGAGGUCUGAGGCGCAGGGACUGGUGGUCGAGCGUCGCUAGGGUUGGCGGCCUUGGCAUGAAGUGUGGUGGCUAUAGGAACUGCAUCUAUGGUGAGCUCUUCAAGGAGGUUGUAGCAAGUCUGCAAAAUAGGGGAAGGGGCAUCCACGAUGAAGAUGAAACCCGAUAGCUUCGAAAUUAUUGUUGAGAUUGGUGGACGUUGAGAACGUGGCUGUGGUUGGAACUGGGCUCGCCGAGGUCACAGAGGUGUCGGCCAUGCCUUUAAGGUUUGCAGCACUAGUCGGUGAUGUUGAGGAGCCCUUGUGUGAAGGUGUCAAAGGUGUCGUCGUCGAGGAAUAGAGCACGAAUUUCACGAUUGUCGUGGAAUUGUGACUCAAGGCCAAGCUAGGUGGCGUGGGCGCGAUGCUCGACGACGACAUCAGUGAGCUCGUCGGAGAUGGUGUUGAUGAUCCACAUCCACACGACGCAAUCCAUGCGGACCUAGUCGGGGGCAAAAACAUCAGAGAGGAAGUGGCCCUCAACGGAGUACCGAUCGACGGUGAGGAGGAACGCCUUGGGCCAGCGGGCGUAGAACGUCGAGGACGAGAGGCACACAAAUGUUCUACUAAACAAUAGCUUGAGCGUGGAGAUUGAGUGCGAUGGCCUCAUGACGAAGAAGGGCAUCGUAGAUCGGUAUAUGUGUGGCGCAUCGGCAACAGAGGCUUCGUCCUCAAGGUCGUUCCCAUCAAGGUUGGCGAGUCGUUCGUAGUCGGCUCAACCGCAGCACGUGCACGAGCGGCACGGUUCAGGGCGUAGUGGAUGCGAACAUCCAUGGUGUUGUGCUCAGCUUGGGCGAGGGCAGCCACACGCUUCUAAUAGCACGGGCGUGGGCGGCGCUGCGGGUGGCCUGGGCUGUGCGCUUGUGUUUCUCCUUGGUAAGGCGAGCAGCAUUGGUCUAUCGGAGAGCAGCGGCGUCCAGAUCGGUGAUGAUCGUGCUUGCGCUGGCGGCUGCGCUAGAAUUAGCAGCACUAGGAUGCUGCGCAGGAGGGUUGUCAACCAUAGCAGUCGGUGUGGCAGAUGACACACACGCAGGGUGCAGUGUCGGCGAGAAACCGAAGGCUAAACCUAGGUAAAUGACAUACUAAUGGAUUCAUUGAUUGAAUAUAGGCGAAGGACAUCUCGGUUCUUAUGGUAACCGAACCAAACAAGACCUUCCAUCUCUCUCUAACCAUAUACAGGGGUUGACCAGCUAUACCUGACACGUACCCAUACCAUAUACACACACAACAUAUAUGACAAUAUAACAUAUAUAAUGAUCAACCUGCUAUACCUUGCACGUAGCACCGUACCUUAUAUACACACAUCAUAUAUGGCAGUUUAACAGCGCUGUUUUUCCUUUAUGGGGUAUAAGUUUGCAAUAGCACGGGCUUAUAUGUAAUCUAGUAGCUUAUUUGCCUUACAAGUUGAGGCAUAUGAUAGGCUACCUAGUGCUGACUCGUGACUCGUGAGUUAUUGUGAAUGGAGACGUGCCUCUACACUGUGUCAUUGCCAGCCCAAAGUCACAAGCACACUAGGUGAAUUAGUGAUUCAUGCUAAACGUAGUUGAUUAUAAGCAUUGUGCGUCUAUGCAUGUGCACUCUUUUCACCCAUGAAAAUCCAAACUUCCCAGACAGUCCCUUAGGAGUCUUAUUUUAGCUUCUGAAAGUUUAGCUGCAUUACGCAUAUCGUUAUCAUUUGUUUGGCACUAGAUAACCUACAGUUCAGCAUCUUGUGCCCUUUUGCACUUCACAUUUUGCAGUUGUAUAGCUUAAUCUCAGUGUAGGUUAAAAGUAUAUAUAUGUACAUGAACUUGCUUGAAAACUCCAAUGCUGUGUAAUUGUAUUAUUCGACCUCCGCGCUUGCCGAAGAAAACAUCUACACGCGGCAUCUCAUUGUCUGGUGUGCACGUGAUAGUGAAGAUAAUGGCUGGACUAACCUGAUUGCUAUUUUUCACAUGUGCAAAUCAGACCUCAAAGCUCUCUCUCUCUCUCUCUCUCUCUCUCUCUCUCUAUAUAUAUAUAUAUAUAUAUAUAUAUAUAUCUUCUUCAAGGAAAGUUCAAACUUGCAAGCCCUUUGCAAGCAUCGGGCAGAGCAUGAUUUGGCUAUGUCCCAGAAGAAGCCUAGAUAGGAAUAAGCAAAAUAAAGAACCUGCAUCCAGAAAACAACUUGCUCCAGGAAUGCAAAACGUUUGUCAUAUAUGUUCGUCAGUUCAGAAGUGCUCCUCAACGUUUCCAUGUGACAGUCCACGUUUCUUGUUUCACUGCUUUUGUUUGUGAACCUAUUGGCAGCGCUUUGCAUGUCUGUUCGACAAAGUUGUUUACUACCUGCAUCUGUUGUUCUGGGAACACGCCUCCGAUGUUUUCCUCGUCUGUUGCAGAAAACUGAGGGAAGUGCAGGGCGGCUAGGCGACGAGGGGUGGAGAAAGCAGAGGCCGUCACGUCACGUCGUCAGCCAGCCAGCCCUAGCGUAACACACCGGUGUCCUGUCUCUCCGACUCUCCGUCCCAUGGCCACUCUGCAUCUGUACCAGGAACCUGUAUAUCAUGGACGAGUCCCCGCUGUUUUGCUUCAUGACAUGUGUGUUGGUAAACUGAAGACUUCAAUGUUUUUGGCGUGCAUGGGCCGCCGUGUUCUUCUUCUGCUUGUGUCGUACUGGCCUUCCUGCUUGGCUCGCUACCCCGCCAGUUCAUUUGCCGAUGACUCGGUGGCUGGCAAACGAGUGGCACCGCGGUCAGCCACAAGGGCAACACACGUACAUGCAUUGGUUGGUAGCUGGCAGCGGGUAAAAAUAAAAAAAAAAUUAUGGUGUUCGGUUUGAUGGAUGAGUUCUCCAUGACUGUUAAACAUUGAAUUUGGUCUGUGAAGCGG